This 52580-nucleotide long non-coding RNA is filed under the name Phaseolus vulgaris (common bean). Its description in RNAcentral is "long non-coding RNA (PVUL_LNC004533)". The record is from RNAcentral. Lineage: Eukaryota; Viridiplantae; Streptophyta; Magnoliopsida; Fabales; Fabaceae.
UCAUUUCUCCUAUUGCAUCAUAUCACGUGACCUAUUUAUAUUCAUAUUGAUUUACUAGGAUUAAUAGUGUUGGAAAGGAAAUAUCAAUUUUGUUUCUUCUACAACUUAACAAUUAACUUAAAUGCUUGUUUGGUAUUGUUAUAAAUCUGAGACUUAGACUGAAAAGUGAAUUGUGAACUUAUGUUUAUUAUUAGAUUAAAAAGUGAGUUGUGAACUUAGGUUUAUUAUUAUAAAUUAUUUAUACUUAUUUUAUUUGUGUAGUAAGUUACGUGUGUUUUUAUUAGUUGAAUGGUGUUGGUUAUUAAUUAUGAUUUCUAUUAUUAAUACUGAUUUCACCGUUAUACCGUUAUUGUUUCAUUAAUGGUUAGUUUACUUAUUUCCUUCCAUUAGUUUCCUACAAUUGGUAUCAAGAGCUAGUCUGUUAUCAUGAACUCUACCCAAUUACUAGUCCUAUGGAAAAAAUUACAAUCAGUGGUGUGUGCAAAUGAGAGUUUUUUUUAUUAUUUAUUAUCAUGAGUUAUGGGAUGUCGUUGAGGGUGGAGUGGUUGCAUUAGCUGUUAAUGCAAUUGAGGCGCAACGAGUAGCGCAUCAUGAUGACAAUAAGGCUUUGUAUCUCAUCCAUAGGGAUGAAUGACAAGACGUUUGAGAAAAUAUAAGGAGCAACAACUGCAAGUGAUGCUUGAAUCAUUUUGUCAACCAAUUAUAAAGGGUGAUGACAAGAUCAAUAGGGUGCGUCUUCAAACCCUAAGACGCCAAUAUGAACUGUUGCAGAUGGAAACCACAUAGAUUAUUGAUGUCUAUAUAAAUAAAGUUCUUGCCUUGACAAAUCAGAUGAAAAGCAAUGGUGAAACACAUUCGGAGCAGGCAAAGGUGGAGAAGAUUUUGAGGUCUUUAACUCCCAGAUUUGAACAUGUUGUUGCCGCAAUUGAAGAGGCCAAUGACAUUUAAAAAAUGACAGUAGGGUUAUUGUCUGGUUACCUACCAGCGCAUGAGCAGCGAAUGAAUGACAAUAAUAUUGAAAAACCAAUUGAACAGGCUUUACAAGCACAAGACUCAAUUGGUAGCUCUUAUCAUAAACACGGUAGUUCACGAGGCAGAGGACGGGGACAUGGUGGUAGCUAUUCCAGCAAAGGUCGUGGUGGCUAGAAUCAUGGAGGCGCUGAGCAAAAUAACAUUGGUUUCAAUCACAUUCCAAGUUCAAAUAACUCUUGACGUGGAGAACGUGAUCGCGGAGGAUGAGGAGGCAUUUAUAAUAAAUCAAAUGUGGAGUGUUAUAACUGUCAUAAACGCAACCAUUAAGCAAAUGAGUGCAGAUCAAAAAGUGAUAAUCAUGCUGCCAAUUGUGCUCAAGAAGACAGUAAUCACGUACAAGAUGAAGAGGAUCAUGCAUAACUAAUGACAGCCACAUCAAAUGAAACUCCAAACAAUCAGACUUGGUAUUUGGAUACAGGUUGCACAAAUCAUAUGUGUGGUCAAAAGGAGUUGUUUGCAUAUUUGGAUGACUCAUUUUGCACAAAAGUGAAAUUCGGUGAUGGCAGGGUCGUUCCGGUGACUGGAAAAGGGCGAAUUCUUAUCACAUUGAAGAAUGGUGAUCACAGGUACAUAUAUGAUGUUGUCUAUGUACCUGAUAUGAAAAGUAAUUUGUUGAGUAUGUGACAACUGGCUGAGAAGGGUUAUGUGAUGUACAUAGUUGAAAAUAAAUUCUCAAUUUUUGAUAAAAAAUGUAGUUUGAUUCUUAAAACCUUUUUAUCAAAAAACCGUAUGUUUCCAGUAGAUAUUCAUAUGGGUGACUUCAAGUGCUUGAAUGCAAUAGUGAAUAAUGAAUCGUGGUUAUGGCAUUUACGCUUUGGGCACUUAAAUUUUCAGAGUUUGGAAAAUCUCUCCAAACGAAAUUUAGUGAAUAGUUUACCCCAUAUUUAUCACCCUGAUCAAUUGUGUGAGACUUGCAUUUUUGGAAAGAAUCACAGGAUACCAUUUGUUAAGGAGCCUUGGCGUGCAAAAUUUCCUUUGGAGCUUGUUCAUAUAGAUGUUUGUGGCUCAAUGAACAUAUCAUCAGUUGGAGGUAAUAAGUAUUUUUUAACCUUUAUUGAUGAUUUUUCAAGGAAAACCUGGAGUUAUCUAUUGAAAAGCAAGGAUGAGGUAUUCCACUGCUUUAAAAUAUCAUAUUUAAAGCAUUUGUUGAAAGACAGAGUGGCAGACAAAUUAAGAUGAUGCGUAGUGAUGGAGGGGGUGAGUACAAGUCUAAUGAGUUCAAGAGGCACUGUGAAGAACUUGGAUUGCAACAUAACAUAACAUGUCUCUACACACCUUAACACAAUGGAGUUGUCGAGAGAAAGAAUAGAACAAUCAUGGACAUGGCGUGGAGCAUGCAUAAAGCGAAAGGUAUGCCAAAUUAUUUUUGGGCUGAGGUCGUAACAUGUGCGGUAUAUUUGAUAAAUAGAUCACCCACUCGGAGUGUUCCUAACACAACUCCGAUUGAGGCAUGGAGCGGAUUCAAACCCAAUGUGCAACACUUGAAGGUAUUUGGGUCUAUUACUUAUGCUCAUGUCCCCAAAGCAGCAAGAUCGAAGUUGGAUGAUAAGGCAGAGAAGACCAUUUUCAUUGGAUAUAAGCAUGGGGGAUACAAAUUGUACAAUCCAAUGACAAAGAAGGUGAUUGUUAGUUGUGAUGUUACAUUUGUCGAAGAUGAGGAAUGGCAAUGGAAUGCAACAGUUGAAAUUGAUUAAAAAAAAACGAUAUAUUUACGUUUUGAACGAUGAUGUGGAAGAUGGAGUCACUCUUGAAGCACCUGCAGUUCAACCAGAAGCUGCAAUUCAACCUGAAGUUGCAAAUCCAAUUGCAACUAUGAUGGAGCGACCAAGAAGGCAGCAACGACAACCUGUACACCUUCAAGAUUGGCGAAGUAAAUCUUGAUGAUGAAGUUGAUGACAAUGGAGAUUUGGUUCACUUUGUUUUUCUUGCAGAUUCAGAACCCAUGAGACUUGCAGAUGUCAUUCAACACCCCAAAUGGCAGAAGGCUAUGAAUGAAGAAUUGAUGGCGAUUGAGAAAAACAAUAUCAUGACUCAAAUUUGUUUUAAUCCAGAUAUUCCAAUUAAGAUUUAUGUUGACAAUGUCUCUGCAAUUAAUCUUGCAGAGAAUCCAGUUUUUCAUCAAAUAAGUAGUCACAUUGAUAUUCGAUAUCACUUCCUGCGAGACCAAGUUAAGAAGAACAUGAUCAAAUUGGAAUACUACAGAUCAGAAGAUCAGAUUGCAAAUAUUUUCACUAAGCCAUUGAAGAUCAAUGCUUUCAUCAAGUUAAGAAAUCUGUUGGGUAGGAAGGUUGCUCCAAAUCAGAAUUAAGGGAGGAUGUUGGUUAUUAAUUCUGAUUUUAUUAUUAUUAAUUCUGAUUUUAUUAUGCUUAAACUAUUUUACCGUUAUUAUUGCAUUAAUGGUCAGUUAGUAUUCCUAUUUUAUAACUUCCAGUAUUUGUAAUUUUAUUAUAUAUAUUAUAUAUAUUAUUGAGUAAAUCAAAAUAUAUGAUACCAGCUCAACAGUUUUGCAAUCUUGUGCAAUUACCUUCAAUCAGUUUCUACAACAUUUUGCCUUCUCUUAUUUCCUUCAAUUAGUUCCUACAAAUGAGAAUAUAAUUAAUAUAAUUAUUUAAUAAGAAACUUAUAUACCACCUCAAGUUAUUUUGGAGUCAAAAUAUUAUAGGAAUGGUUAUCAAUGAAUGAUUUACUAAAAGUGGUAAAUUUUCUUGAGGUUUUAUGAAUGUGAAACCUAAAUAUGUAAAUUUUGAUAGUCAAAAGACUAAUCCCUUUAAGAAUUAAUAUAUUUCAAUAAAAGUGAUUGGAUAUGGUUUUAGUUUGGAGUCAACAACUUAAAGAGACUUGUGUCAAUGUGUAAUCUAUUCUAAUCCACAUAGGUUGAACUCCUAUUAAGGAUACAUAAAUUUUUAAUCUGAUCAACAAGCUAAAGAGAUUGUAUUAAAAAUAUUUCAGUAGUCUAACAGUGGUUGCGAAUUCACGUGAUAUGUGUAGCUCUCAAAGUAAAUAACUUGUUUUCCAAGCUAUCCAAAGAGAUCAAUAUACUUGUCUCCCAAGAGAUUUAUUACUACCCAUGUCAUUUAGACACAAAUAUUUAUGAUAUUGGUAAAAUUAAAAAAAAAUAACUUUACCUACAAAUAGUUAAAAUAUUUGAAAUAAGUGAAGUAAAUGAAUAAUAUAAAUUUAUUCAGAGAUUAUUUAUUAUGAUAAACCUAAUUUAUUUUAAAAGAAUAUAUGACUAAUACAUUUUUUACUUACUCAAAUAUAGUUUAAUUUAUUUUAAAAAAAAUCCAAAAGCUAAAACUUUAGAACAUAAUAUUUUAAAUGUUUUACUUUACACGUGUAAUCCUUAACUAUUUAAAUGUUAUACAAUUAUUAUAGAUAUAAUAACUAUUUUAAAGAAAAUAUUUUAUUUAUUUUAUACAUUUUUCUUACAACAACAAAAUAAAAACCAUAGAUAAAUCCCACUCUUUUAGUGUUUUUUUUUUCUUUCUCUUUUCUCAAUUUGCCAAUUUGCCGUCAUUGUUGAAGAUCUCACCCACUAAUCAAAGUCAUAUUUGAUGUGAAUGUUCUCUUCAAUUCAAAGUUUAUCUUAAUAUUAUGCUAAACUUAGACUUAGUCUAAACCUUACUGACUUGAUUUCAACUUUUCUUUAUAUUUCUUCUUUUUAUACAUAACUUUUCAAACUUUUAAUCUUACACAAAAAGCAUGUCAUUCUUCUCUGACAACAUUUUAUUUCAAUUUUUCUUGAUGGUGUGCUUCAUUUGAAAUUUCAUUUUACUUUAUAUUUCAAUUUUGCUCAUAAGUUAUGAUUGGAGUUUAUUCUAAUUUUUUCCAGUGUCUUAAUAUUUUUCCAUAGUGUGUUUGAUUUUUUAAUUUUCUAUGCAAAAAUUAGUGUUAAUAAUUGUGUCUAACUUUUCUUGUACUCUGUCCUUUAGUUUGAAUGCUUCAUCCUCUGUUCUGCUUCUAAUUUUUCUUAUAUUUUAUCCUGUGUUUUGAAUGCUUAAACUUUUACACUUGUUUUAACCUGUUUUGCUAUUAAUUGUUGUUUACUUGUUGUGAUAUAAGGUUUGCGUGAUUAGUUAGUUGAUGGCAUACAAGUAAUGAAGAACUUUUAAGUAACACAGUUAGUUAAUACUCAAUUAUUAAAAUAUUGCAAGACAUUUCUUAAAAGUGUUUUAUGUUUUAUGUAAUUGUAUUUACCUAUAAUGAAGUUGAUAGCGAAAGAAAUAUUUAAUACUUUUUUUUUCUUUUUUUUUUCUUUUGGAAGGAAUCGAGGGAUACAAACUAUAUCUUCAUAUAUGGAAAAUUAAUUUAGUUAUAUCAGUUGCUAAGUGAAGAUCAAGAUCAUUUGUUUAUUAGUGUGUACGUAUUGAUGUGUUUUGGGAUUAUUAAAAUUUGACGUGUUUGAUAAAGAGUGAUUUAUUCAUAAGUAAACUAUGUUUUGGGAUUAUUAAAUUACGUAUUGAUACUUUUAUUUUCGUGAGGGGAAUGCAUGUGCUGAUAAGUUGACUAAUUUAGGGUUCAUUCAUAGAUAAUCAUUUUAUUGGUAUAAUAGACUUCUAUCUAGUAUGUUCUUAGAAUUCUUUAUGAAUAGGUAUAGUCUACCUAUGUAUCGUUUUUGUUAACAUGUGAGUUUUGGUCUAAUCCUCCCAUAUUUUGGUAUUUUUUUUCUUUUUUUUAAUAAUAUGUUUUUCAUGUGAUGGCAGAUGAUUGUUGUUACUUGAGGUGUCAGCCUAGCUGAGAUGUCAAGUUGCAUAAUGAUGUCUAACAUGGAAAAUUUUAUAAAAAAUAAAAAAACAAAAAAAAACUAUGGUUUUUGUUAUUGAGAAAUUGUUUUUAAGAAAGUGUUGAUUACAAAUUACUAUUUUUUUUAAAAAAAAAUUGUUUUGAACAUCGUAACAUCUUUUUAAUGAAAAAUAUUUAUUGCAUAUAGGGGCUUUUAACAAGUUUGGAAUUGAGUGGAAAUUGGUGUUGGUUUAUGUUGCAAGUUGAUGGUUGAAUCAUAUUCAUAGAUAGAGUUGGUACUUUUUAAUAAUGUAAUUUAGUAUAUUAUUGAUAUUUUAAAAUGAUAAAGAGUGUGUGUAUAAUCUCAAUAAUAUAUGAUUUAAAUGUAUUAAAAAUUGAACUUUAAACAUAAAUCAACUUUAAAAAAUCGACUCAUAAGUUAAGGUUUGCACUUACUUAUAUAUUAUGAAAUGUUUUUAUCUUUGGUCGAUGUAGGAUUUUCAACAUUUCCCUUCACGUCAAGAUCUAUCAAUUCGUGUGUGAAACUAUAUAUUUAUAGGUGGUCAGAUAGCAACCGACCUUAUAAGUCUAACAAACUCUCAUUAGGAUAAACUGUAAAUGACUCUAAUACCAUAUUAAGAAGUGAAUUUUAAGCUUAAUUCAAUUUUAUAAAAUCAAUUCAUAAGGUAAUAUUUACACUCACUUAUAUAAUAUGAAAUGUUUUUAUUUCUAGUCGAUCUGAAAUCUCGAACAAAAUGUGAAAAUAUUCAAUUUUACAAGUAUGAUUAUUAUAAUUAUUAAAUAGGAGAGAUAUGAUUAUUAAGAUCUCAUUACUUGUAUUAUAAAAAAAACCCACGAACUAAAUUUUGUAUUGAUAAAAACUUGAGGAUUGUGGUUGAAAAGGCAGAACAAUUGUAAGAAUUAUCUUUUCAAGCAUAAUACAAAGUAUUUCUUUGUAAUUGAUAAAAAUUUAAACUGACACAUCAAAUAUUUAAAUUAUAUUAUUGAAAAUGGGUUCAUAGAUGAUUUAAAGAAGUAUAUGGUACAAGUUGAAAAUUUAAGAGGUUUUAAAGCAAUAAUAAUCAUAAAAUUUGGAGGAAUGACGUCCAUUCAAAAGUGAUAGGAUGAAAAAAGAAAGACAUGUAUGUUGUUUUAAUAGACUUCCACCAACUAAAUAUUUAAAUAUCUCAUCUCAAAAUUCUAUAACAGAGAAUAAGAUUAACAAUUUAGAAAAGAUUUUUAAAAAUCUUUUAUCUUUUCUUUAGAAAACAUUUUUAAAAAUCUUUUAUCUUUUCUUUAGAAAACAUUUUUAAAAAUCUUUUAUCUUUUCUUUAAACAUGAUGAGUGGUAAUUGUUCUUGCCAACAAUGUGGAAUCACAUCUUCAAGGUAGUCUCCGAACAAUCUUUCGGUAUUGUAGUCCUUGAGUGCUUGAAGAUCACCAAGUGAUGAGGGGAGCUCCACUCGUUGACAAGACUUCGACAAUCAAAUCAGUGAGAACAUUAAAUAUUUCAAUGUAGUAUGUAUUGCAUAGAAUAAUACUUGUCUUUGUUUGGGGACUCAUGACCCUUAUAUAGGACUCGUAGAUCCUUUUUUAGGAGUUUGUAAUCAGACACUUCCUUUGAACUUUUAGUUACACGAUUCGAUUUGUUGGACUCGAUCCGACUGACCCGAAAACGUCUAUUGAGUCCGAUCCAUUGGACCGAAAACACCCGAUCCACAUUAUCGGGUUCUACCCCGAUCUUGACUGAACGAUACAGUAAUAUACAAAUUGUAAAUAAAAAAUAAAAAAUAUAGUAAUUACAUUUAAUCAUCUAUAAAAAAAUUUAAUACUAAUAUGAUAUUUUAAAAAGAUAUUUUUUUCGGAAACACUUGAUGAUGAUGGAAGGAUUGAAAUUAUUCUAAUAGUAAUGUUUAAACACAGUAAAAAAAAGUCAAGUGAUAUGAUAAUGAUUGAAAAUUUACUUUUAAAUACAAUUAUCAUUUUUUACUAUAAGAUCAAUUUUUUUAAUGUGAUUACAUAUAUUUUAUAAAUGAUGUGGAUUUUUAUGGCCUGUACACAUCAUUAAUGAGUGAGAUAAUAUGUUUAAUCAUUUGCCAUUUAAUUUUUAGUACUUUCAAUGAACAAAUGAGAUUCAUAUGUAAGAAAUUUAGCAUCGAUUAUGACUCAUAGGACACAAAAUGUAUUUCAUUGAGUUGAGUGUGGUAUUUCAAUACCUAAUUAAUAUUUUUUUUGUCAUUAGUAAUUUGGUAUUGAUUUAAAAUCGAAAUUGUUGUUGACUAUUAAGAUUUAUUUGCUUUUGUAACUAUUAUGUUUUCCUCUUAUAAAUUUUGUUUAUAUUUUAGAUUAUAAAGUUGUUGUAAAACAUUGCAAAAACUUUUCUUAGUGGUUUUUAUCUAGUACAAUCAUUUAUAUUUUAGUGGACUUUUAUUGAAUUGAAUACACCCUACUCCAAUAGCCUAUGACGAGUCACACAAAUUUCAUUUGACAACAAAGAAUCUAUAGGGACAAAAAGUGGAACUUAUAGAGAAUCUUUAAAUUCAAAUUGAUAUUUUGAAUAAGUGAACAAAAAGUUAAACCCAUUUAUUAUAGCCAUUGUUUCCAAAAAUAUUUAAUAGUGAAUAUUUGAGCAAAUAAUGUAGAAUGUAUUAUAGCUAAAGACAAACAUCAUAUUAUUGUUUGGUACACGGAAAAUGUUAUAUUAUCACAAUUAUCGGUAUAUAUUAAUAAAUUUAUUCUCAAAAUUUUAACUAAUAAAUUUAUUCCACCAUUUUAUACAUGGACUAUAAUGAUAGAUUGUUAAAUGCCCUUAAAAUUUUACAUCACACUUUAUAUAGUAAAAAUAUUAUCAUGAUAUCUAUUACAAUGAAAGAAUGACAUAAACAAAAAUAUUUUGGUAUUAAAAUAUUAACGAAAAAUAAUAAAUUAUAUGGUAUUAUUAGUAAAGUAAGGAACUAAAAAUUAUUGAAGUUUUUGUGGAAUAAACUCAUACGGAAUAAUAUGUCAAAAAAAUUAAUUGAACUUAACAAUUGUUUUUUAUUAGCUAUAAGAAUGAAAUUAAUAAAGAUAUAUAUUUUAGAGAUAUAUUAACCUUAUACAAAAUCAUCAUUAUCAAACUUUCAUCUUGCAUUAAGUCUAUAAUGAUAUUAUACUCAAAACAGAUUAAUCAUACUAAAAACCACAACAUAAUCUAUUAAUCCAAACUUCUUAAAAAUGAUGUUCUUCUCAUAUUGAAUAUAUAGUUUUUAUUGAAGUUAAUAGUAACUCAUCAUGAUUAAAAAACAUGUUGUUUAGAGUUAAUUUUGUUUGAUAGACAAUUAUAUCAUCUAACUAUAUUACUUUAUUGUGUAAUUCCACUAUAUUGAUAUAAGUCUCAAUUUGAUGUACGGGAAAAGAUAGAAAAGAAAGAAAUGGGAGGAGUACAUUUGUUUAGUUAAUUAAAAAAGCUAAAUAAAUAUGUUUAAAAAAUUGUGAAACUGUGAAGUAUAUGAUAAGAAAAUCUGAACUUGUAAAUAUUUAUAACUAAAGUCUGCAAAAAGUAUAAAUAUUUUAAUUAUUUAUUUGUUAAAAGAGUGAAUAUGGAUAUCAUGCUAUUUAGUUAGCGAAUGUUCACUGUCCAUUAUUAAUUAUUUUUAUUUGAAUAUAUUUUUUAAUUAAGCAAUUGAGUAAAAUUAUUAACGAGAAAACAUUAAAAAUUGAUGAAUUAUUUAUAACUUAAUUUUAUAAAUGUAUAGUUUUUAUUUAGACUUGUGGAGCUAAAAUUAUCUUCAAAAGAUUAAUUUUAUUUAAAGUUAUAUUGUGAAGAAUUUUUUUAGAAUGAUUAAUUUUUUUCUAAUAAUAGCUUAUGAAACAUUUUUAUUAUAAUUAUACAUUAAUAUCAAUAUUUUAUCUUAUUUUAUUUUAUGUUUUAAAGAAUAAUUUUUAAAUAAUAUUAUUUUCUUAAAAGAAGGAUCCACGUGUAUCUAUUGAAAUAGGCAAGUAUUUUAAAUAACAUUAUAUUUUUUUAGUAGAAAUACUUCUUCAUAAGAUUUAUUUAUAAAUAACAAGUCACUUUAGAUAUGGUUAUCUCCUACUUCCAUAUCAAUGUAGACUCUUAUAUGUGUGACGUCAUUUAUUAUGAACUUGAAAUGUACUAUCUUAAGUGUAUCCUAUAGAAAACACCAUCACAUUCAAGUCAAAUAAUAUAAAAAUUAAGUAAUAAAUGAAUAAUACAUAUUUUGAGAUCUUCACCAUUAACUUUUAUUUAUAUCGAGUAUCGGUGGUUAAAUAUGACUUUAGUAUUGAGUUAAGAUUUUAAUAAUAAAAAUAUAGUGUAAGGGAAAAUAAUGUUAAUAUUUUAAUACUUUUGCGUGUUGAAAGAAAGAAAACAAAUCUAAAAAUAACUAUAGUUUAAACUUCGUUAAUUUUAAUAAAAAGCAUCUUCAAAACCGUAUUUAGUAGUAUAUAUAAUUGUAUUAUUUCCAGUUAUUUAUUUUAUUUUGUAGAUGCUUUCUAAAUUUAAAGGAAGAACCCAGACUUUAACCAAAACAUAUUUCUAUCCAAAAUAAAUGUAUGGUUAUGGGAAAAAAUAGCCUACAAUUGAUCAUACAAUCCAUUCAUUAAAUAAUGGAGUACAAUACAAUGUGCUAUAAUGAACCCAACAACGUCUUGUUCUAGGUUUUGUAUAUUCAGUCAUUGAUUUCUAAAUUUUUAUAUGAAUGUUUACAAUAAUAUUUCAAGGUCAAGUUAGUACUUCCUCCGAAUAAAGAAUAUAAAGUAAAAAAAGUUAAGAAUUCAUUAAUUAAUACUUAGUUUGAAGAAAAAACAUAUAAUAAAAAGUUAUAUAUUUAUUAUUUUCAAUUCACCUAUUUAUAACGGUAUUCUUCUAGUUAAGAAGAAUGUCUUCCAACUAAAGAUUUAGUUUAGUCAAAAAUAGUUAUUUCCAACUAAAUUGUAGUUCUGUCUCAUACCAUCAUCUUCCUCUUUUAUUUAAUAAUUAUUUCUCUAUUAUAGUAUUUGUCUCAUUCUUAGAUACAUUCUUAGAUUAAUUACAAUCUCGCAUAUUCAGUUAAUGUUUGUCACUUUCAAUAAAAAAAAUAAAAAAAAAUUUCAUUAUUUUAAUAAAUAGAUCAAUAUCAUAACCGUUUUCAUCUAUUAUUGGAAUCGACUUAUGAUCUCACAGUUCUCAAAUUCCAACAUAAUCCAAUGAGACUAAUAAGAUCAUGAAGUAAUUAAUUAUAGGAUGUAUCUUAAAUUUUGACUGAAAUCCAUACCAUUGAGGUUGAUGCAAAAGUUCACAUAUACUAUUAUACCUCAUCUAUAGAAAUGAUUAAUUGAGAUCCAAAUAGACUUAGAUGCGCUUAAUCAUAAUUUAUAUAUUGUUUACUUUACUCUACUUAUUAAUUAUAUUAUUACACCCUUAAUUUCACUUUAGAGAUACUUGCAUCAUUCAGUGGUGAGAUGUUGGGAUAUCGAGUGUGAUAUCGACACCUCAUAUAUUCCGGUACAAUGCAUUUGAGGAAAAUAAAAACCGAUCAUAUGUAUAAUUUUUUGUUUUCUUCCAUGCUUGGUUGUCACUUAGGUCAAUUCAGCACGAACCAACAUACUCCAUUUCAUCUUCUCAUAAAUCGAAGACAAUAAUUCCAGGAAAUGAAAAUGGGGUAUGUUAAUAAAGAAAAAAAAUAAGAGAAAAUUGCACAUAAAUAAAAUUCAAUUGAGUUCUUAAAUUACAAUGAUAUUGAAAAGAGUAGAAAUAUAUAGUUAAUUUGGUGAAUAAACAAAGUAGGUUGGAAAAAUGCGAUGAAAGCAUGAUAAGAUAGUUGUGGUUGUCUGUGGAAAUGCGAAACCCCUCUUUCUUGUUUUGUUUUGCACAUAUUUUACAAGCAAAUCCGACAAACAGAAAGAAUUGCAUAAGUCCAAACCUACUGGUAUUAUUUAGACGUUAAUAAUUGCCAGCUUUUGCCAGCUCCUACUUCAUCAUUAAAAUAUAAUUUAAAAAAAUAGACACAGAAACAGUAGUGAAGACUUUGCUCCUCAGUCCCAAAAAAUGACAACGGGAUACACUGGAUUUCCACACUUUCUCACAUGCUCGUCUUUUUCAUUUUCUGCCACGUGUAUUGUAAUGUAGCAAGGUCCCUCUGGUUCCAGCUGCGCAAACCUCACUCUCUUCCUUCAUCAUCAUCAUCAUCAUCAUCUUCUACCACUACAGCCACAAUAAACAUGCAUACCGUAUUUUUUCUUUUCAAAUAUUAUACGUAUACUUUUUGAUAUUUUAUUUCCGUUUGAGUUGAGUAGUUGUUCUCCAUUUGCAACGGUUACCUAAUAUUAUUCUCUGUUUCCAUCUACCCCAUUAUCAACUACGUAUUGCAUAUAAAACAUUAGCGAUAAUGAAAGAAAGGGUCAUGUAUCUGCUUUCUCAAUCAUUAAUGCAAAAUUACCGAAUUUAAUGAUGUUACCAUUACGAAUGGAGAAAGGGUCAAACCAAAAAUAAAAAGUGCACCUUUUCAACUGGCGGACAAAGGACGAGACACGAGUGGCAUCAACGCGGGUAAAGCACCCCGCGUUUUACUACCAGACGGAACCCAUCAACGGGCUAUAAAGGACACACGUGUGAGUUCUAGAUCAACGGUCAAAACACAAGGGCACUCUAGUAAUAUCGUUAAACGACUUUAUGAGUUGUUGAAAAGUUAUGGUCUUUCCGAGGAAAGAAAAAGUAAAAAAUAAUAAUAAAAAUGGAUUUUUUUUCAUUAUUUUCAUAGUACACAUUUUGUUUUCAUUAAUGGAAUUUUAAAUUGUAUUAUUUUUUGUUGUUAGAACAAACAGAGGGCUAGAGUGAAAAUAAAUUUAACGGGGAGAGGAGAGAGAGUGGGAAGCAUAUGAGAAUAGGAAGAUGGGUGGAAAAAACGCCGUACAGAGGGGUGGCGGAUGACAGCGACUGCUCACUGACCCACAUAACUGACACGUGUCCUGACGCAAAAGGGUGUGGAGGUAAUAUUGAGCAAGCAUAAUGGAGAAAAAGGCAAAGAAGGAACACACAUUAACAAAAAUCAAUUGGGCAGAAGAUCCACAUAUGCCAGCUAAUAUUUUGCACAUUUACAGAAAGAGAGGAAAAAUUGUAGUAGAGGCGGAAGAAAGUUGAAAUGAAGAUAAAAUAAAAAAAAAGAAUAAAGAAUAAAAAAGUGGGAAUGGAGAGUUAAGUGUUGACCCAUUAUUAUUACUCACAUCACACCGGCCUGACCUAGUCCAGGGUAUUAGGGAAGAUGAGGAAUGGGGACAGGCAGCAUAGAAGGAGUAGAUGCACAUCACAACAUAUAAAAAUAUUAAUAUAUAUAGUAAGGUUGGGAAAAUAAUGAGAUAAAAAAAAUUGUGUGUGAGCAUAUAGAAGGAAAUUAAAUUAGGACAUUGGAGUUGGAGGAAUCUUUGAGCAUUAUUGAUGCAUUAAUCGCCACUCCUUCAACGGUUCAUAUCUUACCUCUUUUUAUAUAUUCUGUUCCCUUAUCAUCUUCCACUGCUCAACUCUCUCUCUCUCUCUCUCUAACACAAGCUUCCGUUUUUCUGUUUCUCUUCUCUCUACUCAGAACAUGGGUUCUUCUGCAGUACAAUUGUUUCUCAUCUUGGGGCUUCUGGCUACUUCUUGCAUAGCACAAGCCCCAGGUGGCGCACCCACGCAGCCUCCCACAACCACCCCACCACCACCGCCCGCAGCAGCACCAGUACCUGCACCCACUGCACCCGCAACUCCACCACCAUCUUCACCACCACCUGCACCCACACCCGCACCCACACCAACUGCUCCCACUCCUGCUCCAGCUUCUUCUCCUUCAUCUGCUGCAUCUCCCUCAGCUGAGUCACCAGGCUCUCCUACAUCUCCCCCAGCACCACCGGCCCCCUCAUCUGCACCUUCACCCUCAGUCAGCGAACCACCACCCUCACCCUCCUCCGCAUUCUCCGUUGGCAAGGCCUUCGUUGCCGGGUCUGCGCUCGCGGGAACCUUCGUAGCCAUGGUCUUGGCUUGAAGACAGACCUGACGGUUGGGAUUCGUCCACGUGGAGGCUCUUGGGCCCUUGAUCUUGUUUUACAGCGACGGACGGACGGACGGGAUCUGUUUCAUUUAUUUUAUCCUCUGGUCUUGUUGAGUAGCGGUUUUCUUUUUCUCUCUUUGGGGUUUUAUGUGUUAGUUUUGUUCGUUCGUGGUUGAUGUGUUUGUUGAUUCGAUAUCUGGGAGGGUUGGGUGUUGAUGAUGAUGAUGAUGAUGAUGAUGAUGGUGAUGGUAUUCAUGAUUAUGAUGAUUAUUUUGUGAUUCAUUGUUCUGGUGUUCACACGUGUACGUAGAUGACCUUGAUGAUUUCAUUGUACAUCUAAUAAUUGAAAGAAUAAAACAGUUUGUCAUUCUUUUUACUUACAAUCUUGUUCCUUGUUAAUGUGCAAAACCCUCGUUUUUCAGAGCCACCACCUCUAACUUCUUCUCAUUCUGGAAUAUAUGCAUAAUUAUUCCGACUUCUACACAUUAUACUCCACUUUCCUCCUUUUUCAAAUUACUGCUUUAAUUCGACCAUAGAUAUACUGCCACGUCUUUUAAAUUCAAAGCAUCUUUUUCUGCUUUUCAUUCAGACCACACAUCCAAGACCAACCAAAUUUUGUCCUCUCAUUUACAAUUUUUUAUUCCUUUGCAUUAUGUCAUUACUCCAUAACUUGAUAUUAUUAUUAUUAUUAUUAUUAUUACACUCUUAUUUCUUAAUGAAGUUUCACACUCAAAUCUCACUAAUGCAAUCUACAUUUACCAUUUUACAUUAUCGAUUCAAGAAAAAUAUUUUAGAUUCAAGCGUUUAAAUAUUAACAAAUAAUCUUUUGGAAAAACAAGAUUUGCUUAUAUUCUUCACAGGGAAUUAACUUUUUUUAUGGAAAUCAUUCCACUUUUGCUAAUUCGACAUUUUAUGAGAUGCUGCGAUAAAUCAUAAAACCUUUACCUACUUUUAUGUUAAAAAAAGCUUUUUUUUUCCUUAAAAUUAGAAUGGCGUCAUCUUUUCCAUGUGAGCGUGUUGAUGAUGAAAGAAGGUUCUAGGUUGUUUUGUAAAGAACGUGGGUUUCCUCGUCUUUUCCUUUCAGUGUUGUGGAGAUUUGUUUAAUGCCCUGUCAAUUCCGCAGGAAAUUGACAUGUUAUGCGACCUUUUUCCUAAAUAUAAUAGUAGUAUAAUAUUUUUUUAUGUGAAAGUUCCUAAAUAUAAUAAUAUUAUUAUAUUUAUUAUGUGAAAGUGAGAAGCACGUAGUAGGAGAUAGAUGCCUCCAACAAGAAUUUGUAUUAUUGCAAGCAAGGUGGAUCUGGUUAGCAAUUGGUUAAACUGCUAACCCCUCACUCACUUCAUUACAGGAUUAGAUCCACGUCUUUGUCACAGGUAAAUAUCAAGGAGAACCUUUUUUUUAAAUUAAAAAUUAUUUUGGAAAAUAUUAUUAAAAAAAGUAAGAUGUUUUCAUGUUCUCUGUUUUCUUUUUCUAUUUUUAACUAUUUUACUAAAAUAAUGAAAAUACAACUUUUAAAAAAGGCUAAUAAAACAAACACUUCCCACUGUACUUAGAAAACAAGGAAAAAUUUAAAAUAAAAGGAAUACUUUUGAAAACAAUGGAUAACAAAGUUUAAGAAAAGUUAGGUUAUUUGAGUUAAGAGAAAAAAAAAUCCUAGAAAAAGUUUGUAAAAAAAGAAUUUUAUAGGAUCUUAAUAUAUAUUAUUGGUUUGUGUUAGUAAAUAUGCAUGAUCUUUAUUUAUUUUUUACUUGUUAUUAUUAUUUUGAUUAUAUUUAAUUCUAAAGUUUACUUACACUUAAAUUUAUUAUAAUUUAGUUUAAUUAAAAUAUUUGAAAAUUAAUGAUGGUUUGUCCGCUCUAUUUUGACUCAUUUCAAACUUAGUUAGUAAAAAGUAGGUUGAAUUAGUCCGUCUUACAUAAAAAUUGUAGAUUAGUUUUGGUAGGUCAUUCGCGAUCCAAUCUACAUAAACAAAAUCUUCACAAAAUACCUAUAUGUGAAUGUCUCGAGAAUAAUUUUAUUUUAAUGUUUCAUAUUUUUCUUGCAUUCUAUUCUAUGAAUCUAUCAUUGACAAUAAAAUUUAAUCAAGCUAAAUAAACAUAAAAUUAACAUCUAAUUCAAAUAAAUAUGUCAAUGUUUAAUAUUUCAUGAACAAUAUAACAUAAAAGUAAAUAUUAUUUUCUAAGCUGAAAAACUAUAGUAUUUAAUUAUCAUUGUGUCUUGACUUCAAAAACAUUAUUGUUGUUCUCAAUCCACCUUGUCCUAUUAUUGACAGGUGUGGACUACAAAUUUUGUAGGACAAACGAUCUAAGUAAAUGACAAAAUAAUACUCAAUUCUCUUCACAUUUUUCUUGUGGGCUAGUGGACCAACUUGCAUUGUGAUCUCGUUAAAACAUAUCAUGUUCAUCUUGGAUAUAUAAAUCUUAAACCCUAAACUCUAAACCUCCAUACCUUCCUCUUGCACCUCCAUAUUUUUUUUAAUUCCUACAAUAUUUUUCUGAUUAAGGUUAUGAGGAUUCACAAUUUACUUCAAGUUGCAAUAAGAGUUCACUCCAUAGAACCAUUGCAAGUGCAACAAUAAUUAUUUUUCUUGAUAGAACUUAUGCGAUGUUGCUUGAGGAAAAACUUUAACUACAAAAGACCUAAACCCUCAAGUAAGUGUUGAUUUAUUUUAUGAAGUAAUUAAAAUAUGUCAAAUGAUGGACUCUUCCCUCAAACGUUGCGAUGGAAUAAGAAUGGAAAUUUUGCUGGUGGAAGAGAGAGAUAUGAGGUUUUUAAAAAUGUGGGAUUAUAUUUCAUUUAGAAUUAUUUAAAAUUUUAAAAAAUAUUUAAAUUGACUCUUUUUACAGUUAAUAUGGAGAUGUAGUUAGAAGAUUGGGAGAUAAAGGGAAAAUUUGACUUUUUUAAAGUUUACUUGUACUUAAGUAUAUUUAUAUUUUUGUAAUUUUACAUAAUUCUUUUAUCUUUGAAAUAAAAAAUAAAAAAGGGACUUUUUUUAAAUAAUCCGCCAUUAAUUAUCAUUUUAUGAUUAUUUUGGUACCGGUCGGCAUCAGACGAGUCUGUCUUGGACACAACAACCGGCCCACUAAGUCACAGAACACUCCAAAAUCGCGCAUUGAAUAAGAAUCACCAAUUACAAGAGCAUUUAGUGCGCUGUAACCAUAUUCGGAAUAUGCGGGAACAUCUUUGCGAAAUCAAUCAAAUACUAAUUAACUGAAGGAGGUUAUAAACAUUCCUUAAACAACAUACCUCCCUAUUAAUCAGAGAUCACGAUGUGUCAAUUGAUAACUGAUAUUUAUCCCUCAUGCAAGAAAGUCCAUAACUAGCACUAUAAAUUGAACCCUUUGUUGAGGUGUAAGGUAUGUUUUACAUUCUGCUAGUAUACACCUAAAAUCUUAGCAUUGACUUGAGCGUCAGAGUGUAAUCGCAUAUACCCCUCCGACCGUCUGAGUCCAACAACAAAGGAAGGAAGCUCAAAGUUACACAGAGGAUCGUCAAGAGGCACCAACAUGUCACCAAAUUGUGUUACCUGGGUCCAUUUUCCCCCACAUAGGUACAAUUUUAGUUUAUGAUAAAAGUUAAAAGUAAAUUAUUUUUUAAAUUAAGAAACUAAAAUAUAUUUAAAUCGGAGAGACCGAAUUUUUUUAACGUAAUUUUAUAAAACAAAAGUAUAAGCUUUUAAUGAUUAUUUUACAUUUCAAUUCUUCAAGUUUACUUUUAACAUUUCAGUCUUCCAUUAUCAUCGUGUAUGUGCUCGGUUCUCCUUUAUGCUUCUUUUGGUCGAACAAAAUGAAAUAUAAAAAAAAAAGAAAAAGUGAGAGAAACAUGUAAAUAAUGAGUGAAAAAAUAUUAUUUGAUUGAAGACAAAUUAGUCAAAAAAAAUUAUUUAUUUAUUAAUAUUAUUUUUAUACUUUAAUUAUUAAUUAUUAUUAUUAUUAUAAUUUUUUUUUGUCUAUUUUCUUCAUAUAUUUAUCAUUCAAUCCGUGACAAUCCUCUCCAUUUCAUCACAAAUUUAAAUUAGUUAACAAAGUUCACUCAUCAUCACUUUCUUGGUUUAAAAAUUAUUGAUGGGUAAUCAACUUACAUAGUACAUAAAAUUCAUCAGGAAUGUAAUAAAAUGUUAUAUUAUUAGCGAGUAGGGAUGUGAAAGUGAAACAAACUAUAAGUUGAUUUAAAAUUGGAUAAUCUCACCCUAAUUCACACCGUGACAAGUUUGAAAGUUUCUAACCCAAAUACACUAAAUGUUGGUCAAUUAAAUGGGGCUAUCUAACUAAAAAAUAUUGAAAAAUUUAAAUUGCUAAAAAAAUACAGGAGAUGUGAUGUAAAAGGAACAAGCUCCAGGACCACCUAUCCACGGUGUGAGGGAGAAUGACCCUUGUGUACUGUAGUAACAAUUUUAAAAUUAUAUUAAAUUUAUAUUGAAAGUAUAAAUAUCAAUUUAUAGAAAAAUGCUAAUAUUAUUUAUAUUAUUUAUAAUUAUUAAUUUUUUAUAGAGGUGUAUAAUUUUUAUUUUGUUUUUGUCUAUUCUGAUUCUAGUAUUUAUUGUUUACUAUUUGUUUUUCAUUAUCUCUUUAGUUAGACCUAGAAUGAGUGUACUUCUUGUAUAUAUGCAGAUUAUUUGUUUUGAUUUCAAUAGAAGGGAUAUUCAUUCUCAAAAUUUUUGUCUUUCUUUUUUAUCUUUUGUUAAUCUCUGUUCUAUUUUAUAAUAUGAUAUUAAGUUGUUUAAAGUCUAUCAUAACGAGUGUUUGGUGGACUUAUCAGGUUACCCGUUAUCGGACUACUCAUAAAUAUAUUGCCACUCUCAGUAUAAGAGAGUGUGUUGAAAAUCCCACAUGAGAGAAUAGAUCAUUUGAUAGUAUAUAAGUAAGUGCAAACCUCACCUUAUAUAAGAUUGAGUUAAACUUAAAAUUUAUUAAUUUAAAAAUAAAAAGGAUAAAUAUUUAAUAUCUAAUUUAAUGCUCGUGAUUAUGCUUUUCCACGGAAAGGAUGAUUUGUAUUAGAGGUGCAGUAGUAUAUUAUUAUUAUCAUUAUUAUAUUUUAUUUUUUAUUGUAUUUGUUCUUACUUUGAGUACGUUUCUAAUAUAAAAAAAUAACUAAUGAUGAACAAAUUCAAACAACUCAGAAUUUUUCUUGUUUUUUUAGCGAAUGGGAUUGGAAAUAAUAAUAUUAAAAGUCGCUUUUAUAAUCUUUUAAAAAGGAGCAACUAGAAAUAAAUUUUUUGCAUGCAUCCAGGAUUACAUUAUUCUGUAUAAAGAUAAGAAUUUUCCCUAAAAGUUAACUUUACUUUUCCUUUAUUUUCUUUUCCAAAAGCUGAUGGUUCCUCCAUCUUUCAUAGGGAUUGGUCACAUAAAAUAAAAAUGUCUUUUAAAAAAUAAAAAUAUGUCUUUUAAUAAAUAAAAAUAUUCAAAAAGCAUGCAGUCCCGUAAUCGGAACAAAAACAAAAUUAUUCUCUUGAUUCUUCUCUUUUAUCCAACUUUGUCAUUUUAUUCUUUAAAAAAUCAAUUUACUUAUUUAAAGUGUGUGUAUGGGCACACACAAGUGUAGGAACUUAGCAUUUGUGUGUUGUUUGAUAUUGAAGAAAUGCCCACAAAUAAAGAGAAGUGAUAAGAAGAUUAGUUCUUAAUUUCAUCUUACAAAACUUUUUUUUUUCCAAAAAUAUACUUAUUUAGAAAAAAUGACCCAAACAAAUCUAUUUUACUUUAAUUUCCAAACUAGACUCAUGUAUUCUUGACAUGAGUCAAAUUUUGAAGAGUGAAUAGUACACCACUUUUUCUUUUCCUAUUUUUUCUCAAUUUUCAUUUUUUUUUGUUUGAAAAAACCGGUUUAGAAUUUGGCUUAUUGAGAAUCGGUUUUCAGCAGCACGGGAGUGGAUACAUUGAAAAUUUGGUUGCACUAGAAAAUUGGCUCAAAUUUUAUUUCGGGGAUUUGAAUUGUGUCCUAUUUUUAAUUUAUUUUUGAAAAUUGAGAAACAAGGAGUGAAAGUAUUUCACAUUGAAAUUCCGGUUAUUGGGAAGUCGAAUUCUAAAUGUGAAUAGUAAAUAAAAUAAGUCCAAUUUGAAAAUUAAAGUUGAAAUAUGUUUAUUUGGGUAACUUUUCAAAAUGGGUUUAUUUUGGGAGGAAAGAAUCCCAAAACUAUAUAUGUGUGAACCAAAUAUAUUUAAUUUUAUUGUAAAAUAAUUAUGUAAUUUUUUGCAUAAAUAGUUGGUUUAAUAUAAUAAGUAUUUACAUGUUUUAUUUUUAGUACAGUAAAAGAAAAAUUAUAAUUUUAUUAUAACAACUUUAAUUCUCUUAGAUUUAUUUAAAAUUCGAUAAUAAUUAAUAAUAUAAUUAAGUAAGUUUGGUCUUUAGUAAUUCUCAACCUAUGUUUGUUAAAAGAAAAAUUAAUGUUAAUAGGCAAUUAGGUUUUUUCUUUUGUUUUAUAAAUUUCAAACAAAAUAAAACUAAGAGACUUAAAGUUGUUGUACUUAAAACAUAGUUUUUUUUUUCUUAUUAUAAUAAAAAUAAAAUAUGUUAAUAAUUUUUAGAUUGAAUAAAUUAUUUAUCUUAGUUUUUUUUUUCUAUUUCUUCUUUUCAAUUACAAAAUAUUUUUUUAUUAUUUUCUAUUCCGUAGGUAACAGUCAAAAUUUGUAGAUAAAUCCAUAGAUAAUUUAACAUAUUUUACUUUUAAAUUUUCAAUUAUUAUUUGAAUCUAUUUUUUUUUCAAUUAUUAUUUAUGCUCAUCUUUAGGAUUAUUAUUGACAUUGACAAUUAUUAUAUAUGUUAUUAGUGGGUGGGACUCGAACCAAAGUCCAUUGGAUGACCAAAGAAACUUUAAUCAUUACACUAAAUAAAUUUUGUUAUCAUGUUAUGGUUAUUAUUAUAUUUAUUAGUAUGAUUAUCAAUAUUAAUAUAAUUAUUAAUAUAAAUAUUAUUAAUAUUAUUCAUAUAUUUAAUAUCAUAAAUAAUAAUUGAUAAUUGGAUGACCAGAGAAACUUUAACCAUUACACCAAAUAAAUUUUGUUAUCAUGUUAUGGUUAUUAUUAUAUUUAUUAGUAUGAUUAUCACUAUUAAUAUAAUUAUUAAUAUAAAUAUUAUUCAUAUAUUUAAUAUCAUUUAUAUUAUUAUUCAAAUUAAUAACAUUAUUAAUUAUUAUUAUAAUUUUAUUAUUACUAUUUGUGAAUAUUAGUUGUGAUUUUAUAAUUAUUCAUAUAUAUAAAUAAUUCCUGUUUUUGUUAUUCACGGACACACGGUUCGUAGGUAAGUUACCUACAAAUUGAAGUGGGUGGCUAAUUCUUGUUUUUGUUACCCACAAACAUACUGUUCAUAGGUAAAUUACCUACAAACUGAAGUUGAUGGAUAAUUUCUAUUUCUGCUACCCACAUACACACUGUUCGUAGGUAAAUUACCUACGGACUAAAGUUGGUGGAUAACAGAAACAAGAAUUAUCCAUCAACUUCAGUUCGUAAGAAUAUUAUUAUUAAUAAUAUUAUUCAUGUUAUUAAUAUUAUAAAUUAUUAAUAUUAUUAAUGUUAUAAAUAAUAUGAGUAAUAUUAUUUAUAUUAAUAUUACUAAUAUUAAUUUUAUUCAUAUUAUUAAUAUUAGUUAUGCUUUUAUAAUUAUUCAUAUAUUUAAAUAAUAUUUUUAAUAUUAUAUAUAUAAUUAUUAUUAUGGGAAUAUCCGUAGAUAUCGAUGUUAAAUUUACUAAUAAAUUCAGGUCCGUAGAUAAUGCUGAAUUUACUUACGAAUUCAUAUCCGUAGAAAAAAUCUCAUUUGAACAUGUAACACCCCAUAAUUUACAUAUAACUAUUACAAUAAAAGUUUUACCCGUUUCUAUACAAACUUGGAGUUUUUCAAAACAUUCCUAAUACAUGAUUAGAAUUUAUAGAAAUACAAAUAUUUACAUAUCCAUAACUCAAAAUAAAAACUCUGAAACCUUUAAGGCUCUCCUGCACCUAUAUGGUCAUUUACUCGUGUACAUAGUACAAUCAUCGCAGUUCAAACACAUCAAGAAAAGCAAGGGUAAGCUAAUGAAAAGAAAUUUCAUAUCUUAUAUAUUUUUUGCAAAAAGAACCAAUCAAACAAAUCAUUUAUAAAUAUUUCUUUAAAUGUUGUCAUAUAAAAUUUCAAUAUCAAUUUCAUCAUUCAUAUAGACCACACAUGAAUCUAUCUUCAAUCACAAUCAUUGGAUUUCAUUUCAAUCCCACUUCAUCUUCCGAAAGACUCAUUAAGUAUGCCCCUACCAGAGACUAACACCUGACCCAAAGAUUACCAGCGAAUCCAAUAGAAAGGAUUAGGGUAAGUUCAAACAUCCAAUACCGAGUGUCUACAGUGGGACUCAAUGUGUAUGAACUCCCUCUCGGCUUCUCACCACCUGAUAUCUUAGUCUACAUGACUUAGAUCACCAGUGAAGCCAGAGGAUCUCCGUUAAACAUAGGCUUUUCAUACUUAAUGUACCAUCAAAUAACAACUCAUACAUUAUCCCAAAUGUAUGACAUCAAUUUCAUACAAUUUUCAUCAUACAAUAUCAUUCAAAACGCAAUCCACAAUAUUCAAAAUCUUAUUUAACAGAAAAACAACACUUAAAUACUAAACCAUCAAAAUUUAAUAUUUUUACUAGUUUAAAUAAUAUAUAAACAAACAACACAAUAUAUAAAAACACAACAUCCUUGCAAGAAAAAUUGAAUAUUGGGACCACGUCCCUUCUGCAUUAAGAUCUUCUAUCCUAGGGUGCUAUUACAAAUUAAAUUUAGCUUCCCUUACCUCAAUUGCUUGCUUUCCUAGCAACUUCUAGAAUUUUAUUCCCCACAGUCUAGAUAAGCUUCAAGAUUUACGGGCCUAAAGCAAGUUAUCCAAACAAAAUAAAAAUUCAGUAUAUAGUAGAAUAAGUUGAGAGGAUUAAACUUCUCAACUGACCCCACCAAGAUUGAUGACUAAAUCUUAAGGAAAAACUGAGAACAAAGGAUAUUUAGAGUAAAAAUGAACUUACUCUGUUUAAAAAUCUGAUCGGGUAGAAAUGUUCCUUAACUCGCCAGCUACAACGUGGUCCGAUCAAAUUGAAAAAUAGAUGAAGAUUAGGAGAGAAAAUUAAGAGAGAAUGAAGAGAAGAGAAUAUGGAAAGAGAGAGAGAAAGAAAAAGAAGUUUCGUGUGUGAGGGGGGCAUGGGGUUUGGCUUUUGCUUCUUUAUCUUCUUUUAUUUUUACGCUGUUACAAAACUCAGUUAAUCAUGAUUAUCUGAGUUUUGUAAAUAAAUAAUAAGUUAAUAUGUAAUUAAGAUUGAACAAAGUUUUUUUAAUGAUGAUUUGCAUCUAGUUUCUCUUUAUACUUCUGUAAACUUUUGUAGGGUUUUCAUUUCAUCUUGCAGAACAAUUUGAUCUCCUACAAUAUCUAAAAGACUUUGAAUUAUUCUUCUCACAUUAAUGUGGUUUUUUUUUAAAGGUUGAUACUUGUUUAGUGAAUAGAGUCAAAAGAUUUUCGUUCAAAAACUUUGUAGAAGAAAUUUAAAUAAAAUCCAAUAGAGUUCAGAUAUGACAACUUACAUAAUAUAGAAGUUAAUUACAAAACAAAAAAAAAAACUAAAUCUCAUAUCCUAAUAUAGUCAUUAUGUAGUACUUUCAUAAGAGCAACACAUAUGAAAAUAUCACUUUCAAAUUUAGGAAAAAUAAUGGAAUUAAAAAAGGAUGAAAUUGAAGACAUAAUUUUAAGAGAUAAAAUGAGUUAAUUUCCAAUAAAUCACAAUUUUAAAAUUUUAUUUAUGAGACAAAUUCUAAAUUUGUUGUGUGAAAAAAAUAAUGUUAUAAACGAGAUUUCAAAGGAAAAACAAGAGCAUCAAGUUACAUAAUCGAAUAACAUUCUUAGAUCUAGAUUUCUUUUUCUUUCGUUUUUCUUAUGGAAGACUAAACAUUAUGGGUUGAUUCUAUUGUGAUUUUUCAUUGAAUUUAAAGGUUUUGUUAAAUGAAAUUUUGUUUUUUAAUUUUUUGUAACAGUUUAUUUUAAUCAUUUGAUAUUUUGAAUUUGAAUGCCUAUCAAAGAAAUUGUCUUUGAAUAUUUAUUGAAAAUUAAUUUAAAAUUUAAUUACUAUUAUUAUUACUAUUUUUAUUUGUAAAGAUAAUUAACAAUUGUUAUUAGUUAUUCCUAACUAUUUCCUCAUGGUUUUCUUGUAUUAAUUUUUUAUUGUAUUACAGUUAAUGAAGAUGAAUAUUCCUUGUCUGAUGUGGUGCAUCAAAUGGAGUGCACGUAAUCACACGAAAUCGCAAUAGAGAAAGGGAGGUGCUGAUGAACCCUAAUUGCAAAUGAAAAAGAGACAAUGACUUAAGCAUGAAAGAGAGAAAAGAAGAGAAAAGAAAAUACAAAAGAAAUUCUUAUUUACUUGUGUAUUAGAGAGUAAAAUACAUUGUGUAUAUAUAAGAAAAAGACUAAGACCUAGCUGAAACAAAAAGAAAGUUGGGCCAAACAAACAAAGCCCAAUAACUUAAAACAGAAAAACUAAAUAUGUUAACAUCCCCCUCAAGCUGGGGAGUAGAUAUUUGUCAGGCCUAGCUUGGAUUUGAGAGUAGAGAACUGUGCGGAAGCAAGAGGCUUGGUGAAUAUGUCAGCAACUUGCAUGGCAAAAGUAAUGGACAACAGUUUGAGGAGACCAAAGUUAAGUUUUUCACGAACUAGGUGACAAUCAAUUUCGAUGUGCUUGGUGCGUUCAUGAAAGACUUGAUUGGACACUAUUUGAAGGGCAGAUUUGUUGUCAUAGUACAGGGUUGCAGACUGGGAGAGAGGAAGAUGUAAAUCCUGAAGGAGGUAAGACAACCAUUGUAGCUCACAUGUGAUGGUGACAAGGGCUCUAUACUCGGCUUCAGAGGAGUUGGGGGAGAUAGUUGGCUGCUUCUUUGAUUUCCAUGAUAUUAGGGAGUCUCCUAAAAAGAUGGAAUAUCAAGUGACAGAUUUGCGUGUGGUAGGACAUGUUGCCAGGUGAAGUGAGCUAGUAUGAGAAAAAUAUAGUCCUUCACCAAGGGUGCCCUUAAGGUAACGCAAAAGACAUGAGACAACUUGUUGAUGAUGAGUUGUGGGUGCAGAUAUGAAUUGGCUUAAAUUGUGGACAGCAAAGGCGAUGUCAGGUCGCGUGUUGGUUAAGUAGAUUAGACGUCCAAGGAGUCUUCUGUAUUGAGAAGUUGCAUCAGCAUCAAGAGGAGAGCCUUGAUCGAGAGAGAGACAGGAGGUAUGAGUCAUAGGAGUGGCCACAGGUGCAGAGUCAAGCAUGCCAGUUUCGUGAAGAAGAUCAAGAGUAUACUUGCGUUGACUUAAAUGAAGACCGGAACUGUUGCAAGCAAUUUCCAGUCCCAAAAAGUAAGUGAGAUUACCUAAAUUUUUUAUCUUGAAGUGAUGGUGAAGAGAUGCAGUAAUUGUAUUGAUUUCCUCCGUGUUAUCGCCAGUUAAGACCAAAUCAUCAACAUAAACAAGAAUAUCAGUGAGUUUAUCGUUAUUAUAUUUAAGAAAAGGAGAGUGAUCAACAACAUAAAUAGAGUAAUUAUUUGAUAAAAGAAAAGUAGAAAGUUUGGCGUACCAUUGGCGACCAGCUUGACAAAGGCCAUACAAAGACCGUUGAAGCUUGCAAACAUGCUGGGGAGAAGGAAGAGAGAGGCCAGGUGGGGGGGUCAUGUAUACCUCUUCAUGGAGAUCACCAUGAAGAAAUGCAUUAUUGACAUCAAGUUGUUUUAAAAUCCAAUUUUUGGAAGUGGUUAACAAGGAAAAGGCGGAGGGUAGUGAUUUUAGCAACAAGUGCAAAAGUGUCUAAGAAAUCAAGUCCUUCAAGUUGGGUGAACACUUUGGCAACAACUCUAGCUUUGUGGCGCUCAACAGUGCCAUCAUAAUGGUAUUUGAUUUUAUAUACCCAUUUACAACCAAUAGUUUUCUUUCCUGAAGGGAGAGAGGUAAGUUGCCAAGUAUUGUUAGCAGCAAGAGUUUGAAGCUCAUCUUGCAUGGCAGAUUGUCAAGAAGCAUGUUUAGAGGCUUCGUUAUAUGUCUGAGGUUCAGGAUGAGAAUUGAUAGAGGAAAUAACAUUUCUAAAAUUGGAAGAUAAGGAAUUGUAAGACAAGUAAUUAUGAAUAAGAUAUCUACUACUUACAGUGUUGGUUGCAGUGUGGAAAUNNNNNNNNNNNNNNNNNNNNNNNNNNNNNNNNNNNNNNNNNNNNNNNNNNNNNNNNNNNNNNNNNNNNNNNNNNNNNNNNNNNNNNNNNNNNNNNNNNNNUGAGGUGCUUCCUGGAGAUGCAGGUGGUGAUAAUUCUGGUUGAGGUGCAAUGUUGGAUGCAGGAGCAGAGGCACUAUUUAUAGGAAGAUCAGAGGAUAAUAAGGUUGGUGGAGGGACAGUAUUGGGUGCAGGAGUAGAGGCACAUGGCUCGACAGGAGGUGCAAUAAUACAAGAAAAAAAAAUCAAAAAACAGAAUUAUAUGCGUUAGAAAUAGGGAGAGAUAAAGUGUUAGGGUCCUUAGGCAAGCCACUGUCCAAUUUAUAUGGAAAGUGGUUUUACAUAAAAGAUUACAUGUCUUGAUAUCUUUAUGCUUAAUUAGAAAACUUUAAAUUUAAGUAUUAAUAUUAACCUUUUUAUUUUGUGGGGUAGGUUGUGGGAGGCCAGGUGGGGGGGUCAUGUAUACCUCUUCAUGGAGAUCACCAUGAAGAAAUGCAUUAUUGACAUCAAGUUGUUUUAAAAUCCAAUUUUUGGAAGUGGUUAACAAGGAAAAGGCGGAGGGUAGUGAUUUUAGCAACAAGUGCAAAAGUGUCUAAGAAAUCAAGUCCUUCAAGUUGGGUGAACACUUUGGCAACAACUCUAGCUUUGUGGCGCUCAACACUGCCAUCAUAAUGGUAUUUGAUUUUAUAUACCCAUUUACAACCAAUAGUUUUCUUUCCUGAAGGGAGAGAGGUAAGUUGCCAAGUAUUGUUAGCAGCAAGAGUUUGAAGCUCAUCUUGCAUGGCAGAUUGUCAAGAAGCAUGUUUAGAGGCUUCGUUAUAUGUCUGAGGUUCAGGAUGAGAAUUGAUAGAGGAAAUAACAUUUCUAAAAUUGGAAGAUAAGGAAUUGUAAGACAAGUAAUUAUGAAUAGGAUAUCUACUACUUACAGUGUUGGUUGCAGUGUGGAAAUCCGCAANNNNNNNNNNNNNNNNNNNNNNNNNNNNNNNNNNNNNNNNNNNNNNNNNNNNNNNNNNNNNNNNNNNNNNNNNNNNNNNNNNNNNNNNNNNNNNNNNNNNNNNNNNNNNNNNNNNNNNNNNNNNNNNNNNNNNNNNNNNNNNNNNNNNNNNNNNNNNNNNNNNNNNNNNNNNNNNNNNNNNNNNNNNNNNNNNNNNNNNNNNNNNNNNNNNNNNNNNNNNNNNNNNNNNNNNNNNNNNNNNNNNNNNNNNNNNNNNNNNNNNNNNNNNNNNNNNNNNNNNNNNNNNNNNNNNNNNGUCCAAUUUAUAUGGAAAAUGGUUUUCAUAAAAGAUUACAUGUCUUGAUAUCUUUAUGCUAUGAAACUUUAAAUUUAAGAUAAUAUAACCUUUUGUAUUUUGCGGGAAGCCAAGAAAAAUACCUUUGAUAGAUCUAUCAUCUAAUUUUUUCCUAUGUGCAGUAAUGGUACUAGCAUAACAGAGACAACCAAACACUUUUAGAAAGGAAAUGUUAUAUGGUUUUCCAAACAACUUUUCAUGAGGAGUGAUGUUAUUAAGUAAUGGAGUAGGAAUAACAUUUAUUAAGAAAACAACAUGAUUUACAACAAAUUCCCAAAAAUAGGAGGAAGAUUUGCUUGAAAAAGCAAAGCCCGGGUUACAUUUAGUAUGUGUUGAUGUUUACGUUCUACAAUGCUAUUUUGUUGUGGUGUUUCAACACAAGAUUUUUUAUGUAUAAUUCUCUUUGAAGCAUAAAAAUUUGACAUAGCAAACUCAACACCAUUGUCAGUACGAAUUGUUUUGAUAUUAGUUUUGAAAUGAUUUUGAACNNNNNNNNNNNNNNNNNNNNNNNNNNNNNNNNNNNNNNNNNNNNNNNNNNNNNNNNNNNNNNNNNNNNNNNNNNNNNNNNNNNNNNNNNNNNNNNNNNNNNNNNNNNNNNNNNNNNNNNNNNNNNNNNNNNNNNNNNNNNNNNNNNNNNNNNNNNNNNNNNNNNNNNNNNNNNNNNNNNNNNNNNNNNNNNNNNNNNNNNNNNNNNNNNNNNNNNNNNNNNNNNNNNNNNNNNNNNNNNNNNNNNNNNNNNNNNNNNNNNNNNNNNNNNNNNNNNNNNNNNNNNNNNNNNNNNNNNNNNNNNNNNNNNNNNNNNNNNNNNNNNNNNNNNNNNNNNNNNNNNNNNNNNNNNNNNNNNNNNNNNNNNNNNNNNNNNNNNNNNNNNNNNNNNNNNNNNNNNNNNNNNNNNNNNNNNNNNNNNNNNNNNNNNNNNNNUAAAAGGAGCAAAACAAUGCGAUUUAGAACGGCUAGAAGAAGGCAAGGUAGUGACAAGGUACAAGUCAGCGAUGACUUUAACUAUACCAAUCCUCUCUUGAGUGAGAUUGUCCUGUAUAAUGUAGUGGGUUGAAGUGAAAGUUAAAGUGCAUUUAAGUUGGUGUGUGAGUUUAGAAACAAAUAUUAAGUUUAAUUGAAAAUGAGGCACAUAUAACACAUCAGACAAAUAAAACUUAUCAAAAAAACGUACUAAGCCAUAAUAUGUGGCAUAAACAGUUUGGCCAUUUGGAAGACUAAUUAAGACAAGUUUAAUUUUAGUAUAAGUAGUAAAACCGUUCAAAUAGUGACAAAUAUGAUCUGUGGCACCAGAAUCAAUAAUUCAAGAUUCUUUUAUAGAAGAUAGAUAGUGAAGAGAGAAACUUACUUGUUGAAGAAUGCUCAGUAUUGGGGAUUUCAUCUGCAGAGAAGGUGCCGACUUGAUUAAUUUGAGUGUGAGGAGCAGGAUCCUCAAGGUUUUGCUGACGCAAAAUGUUGGUAAGGAAUUGACACUGCUGUGAUGUAAGUUGAAUCCCCUUUACAUCCUGUUCUUUAGGAAAAAGCUCAGAAAAAGUGUCAGUAGUAAUCAUAUUAUUGGCUUGGGAUGUCCAAUUGGUGAAUUUGUAGCCAAGAGGGAACCCGUGUUUUUUAUAACAGGUGUCGACAGUGUGGCCAAGACUAUUACAAAAAGUGCAGACUUUUCUAGUAAAAGAAAAUUUUGAGGUUUUAACAUUACUAGAAGGAAAACCCACUUUGCGAAAACAAACAACCUCAGUAUGACCAUAUUUACCACAAAAAUUGCAUGUAAUAGUCUGACUACUAUUAAGACUAGGGUUUUCAUUAAACAUUGGCUAAGAGAUUUUUAAACCCAAUCAAGAUUUUGAAAGAGAACAUAAAAGAUAACCAAGAACAACAAAGGGGGAAAUAAAGAUCAGAGAGAAGCGCAGCAAAGCUCUUCAUUCGAAGAGCUCUGAUACCAUAUUACAGUUAAUGAAGAUGUAUAUUCCUUGUCUGAUGUGGUGCAUCAAAUGGAGCGCACGUAAUCACACGAAAUCGCAAUAGAGAAAGGGAGGUGCUGAUGAAUCCUAAUUGCAAAUGAAAAAGAGACAAUGACUUAAGAAUAAAAGAGAGAAAAAAAGAGAAAAGAAAAUACAAAAGAAAUUCUUAUUUACUUGUGUAUUAGAGAGUAAAAUACAUUGUGUAUAUAUAAGAAAAAGACUAAGACCUAGCUGAAACAGAAAAACAAAGUUGGGCCAAACAAACAAAGUCCAAUAACUUAAAACAGAAAAACUAAAUAUGUUAACAUAUUGAGUUAUGUUUCUAUCUAGGGUGGACAAAAUAUCUAGUUUCUAAAACUGCUUCACUUUUGCAAUACUCUAAUCUAUUAAAAAUCCAUUUAUUUAAAUCUAAUUUUUAGUAUGAUCCAUAUUUUAUUAUAUUUUUCAUAUCAAAUUUAUAUUUUGUUUAUACAGAUUUUAAAAAAUGGAUACUCCAAAUAUUUAGAAGUAGUCUAUCUCGAGUACCUCUACCAAAACCAUCUUUUUAUACUUUCUCUCAUUUGCAGUUUCCUCUUUUUCUCCUCUCUUCAACACCUCUUAUUUACUUUUGAGAAUUUUAUUUGCUCCAAUAACUUAUACAUUUUUUUUGGUCGGCAAUAAUAAAUUAAUAAAUGCGAGCCACUUCAGGGGUGGUUCAACCCUUAUACAAAAGAAACAAGAGAUACCAAACCAAUUACUAGCUAAAAUCUCCAAACUAACAAACACAAGCACUAACCGGACAUAGACUUAAACUACAUCAAGCAACCAUUCUCAUACAUUCCAAAGGUACCAUACACCAACUAGAAAAGGGAAACGAAGCGGAUCGAGAUCUAACAUUAAUCCAAGACCAAACCUUUGCUUGCACCCGUGCACACACUUCAGACGCAUCAGUCACUCCCCUGUUGAAGAUAAUAAAAUUCUUGUGGAUCCAAAUUUCACCCACCACCCCAACCCAGAUCGUGCGCCACACUUCAUUAACCGACUCUGAAGACUGGCACAUCCUAAAUUGUGCAAAGUUUAACACUAGAUCAACAUGGGACACAAACGUCACCCCCAACCACUCAAGGCAAAGGCACCAAACCCGCCAAGCAAAUCUGCAAUCGAAAAACAAAUGGCGAUAAGACUAUUCCUCCUUCCCAAACAAACAACACAAAGGGCUACCAAACAACACACCUCGCCUUUCCAAAUUGGCCCUAAUAGCGAUCUUAUUCUCCAACACCCUUCAGGCAGUGACUAAAGCAGAAGGUACGACUUUACAGCUCCAUAACUUACUGUAAGUCGGAGAGAAAACCACCUUACCAUCCCUCCUAAGAAGAGAAUAAGAAAAACUAACUGAAAACGUCUGAAGACCCCCUGCCUUCCAAACCCACCUAUCCGCUUCUCCUAGGACCAACCUAACCUCAAGUAAAGCCUGAUAUAACUGAUCCACCAAAGGUUUCUCCCAUUCAAACAAAGAUUUACGCCAUGCUAAAUGCCAAACCCACACACCAUUAGACCAAGACCCAAUCUCAGCCACCUUUGCAUCUUUGGUCGAACACAGGGAGAACAGACUCGGAAAUACUCUCUUCAGCGCAUUUUGACCUAGCCAUCAGUCCUCCCAAAAAAGAACAUCCUUUCCAUCACCAACUUUCCAACUAAUCUCGUCUUCAAAACUACUACCCCACCCCUCCGAAACCCACACCUUUUUUAAGUCUUUCCACCAAAUAGAGCACCUACUACUUUUCUCUUCCUCUCUCAAACUUCUCCAACCACCAUAUUUGGAGACAAGAAUCUCCUUCUAAAGACCAUCCUUAUUCGAACCCAACCUCCAUAUCCACUUGCCUAACAAAGCCACAUUAAAAGUCUUUAGAUCAAUGAUACCAAAGCCCCCAAGUUCGCGAGGUUUACAAACCUUUUCCCAGGAGGCCCAAGCGAUCUUCCUUCCUUCAGAUCCCCAACCCCAAAGAAAAUCCCUUUGAAUCCUGACCAACUUGUCUGCCACCCUAGAAGGCAAUUUAAAUAGUGACAUAAAGAAUAACGGGAUGGAAGAAAGAACAGACUUGAUCAAACACACUCUCCCUGCCAACGACAAGCACUUACCUUUCCACCUGAUAAGCCUAGUCUUAACCUUCUCAAUCACCCCAUUCCAAAAGUCACCGUGCUUAUGACUCCCACCAACAGGCAAACCCAAGUAAACAAAAGGAGAACCCAUUACAUCACACUUAAGGAUAUCUGCAAAACUUCGAAGCGAGCCAUGACUCAACCCCGUUCCGCCAAUCCUACUUUUCACAAAAUUAACCCUAAGCCCAGAGGUAAGUUCAAAGCAUUGCAAAAUCGCCUUAAUAUUGAAAAUGCUUUUGGUGUUAGCUUCACAGUAAAACAAAGUAUCGUCAGCGUACUGUAACAUAUUAACCUUCAUUCUAUCCCUGCCAACCUCCAAACUGUCAAUCAAAUUCUUUUCUUCAGCCAUCCUUGAUACGCCAACCAACCCUUCUGCCACAAUAAGAAAGAAAAACGGAGUUAGUGAAUCACCUUGAUGGAGACCCUUCAUUGGAAAAAAAACUCCUUAGUUGGGCAUCCAUUCACAAGGACUGAAACAGACGCGGAUUCUAAACAACCUUUAAUCCAACGAAUCCACAGGUCACAAAAGCCCAACCUCCAAAGCAUAUAAUAAAGAAACUACAUAAUAAAUAGAUCUAAUAUUUUCAAAGUUUAAUUAAAGUAUUAUAGGUAGGUGUAUUUUAAUGUUAAAAAUUUAUAUAUUAUGUUAUCUUUAAUUUUUUUAUAUUAUUAAAUUAUAAUUUUAUUAUAUUUUCUUAAUAUUUAUAUAAUAUUCAACUUUUUUUACAUAUUAUUAUAUUAAUAUUAUGUUAAUUUUUUAGAAAACAUGGAUUAUUUUUUUUAUAAAAAUAUGAAUUUUGAUUUAAAAUCCAAUCUAAAUAUUUGGAUUUGAAUUUUCAUAAAAAAAAUAUGAAUUUAGAUUAUAAAUUUGAUCCAAAUAUUUGGAUUUGAAUUGGAUUUAAUUGAUGAACACCCUUACUCCUAUCUUAUCUUAUGCUUUCUAUAAUAGUAAAUACUGUAAUUAUCAUAAAAAAAGUUGAGUACGAAAAUAUAUUUUUAUACUGAUUUUAAAUAUUGUACGAAAGUUUCUAAUAGUAAAUUGAACUUACUAUAACAAUUUUUUACUGAUAUAAAAAAUUAAACUUUAUAUAUAUAUAUUCUUUAUCGAAUGCGUUACAUAAAUAUAUUUAUCGUUAAGUAUGGUUGAUAACAUACACUUGUUUCUUUCUAUUGUCUUGUAAAUACAUUUCCAUACAUAAUGAAAAUAUGUUUUUUUUUCUAGUUUGGGGAAGGCACCUUUUUUAAAAGACAACAAAAAAUGUUUUGUGUAUGUAUUUUAGAAACAUGAUUCUCUCAAGAAUAAUUUGGAAAAAAUAAUGGAAAUUAUGAGGUAAAAUAGAAAAAAUCAGGUGGUAAUAAUAGAGCCCAACUAAGCUCAGUACCAGCCAAUAAUACAAAUCUUGGAUUGGGCCUUCAAAGUAUAGACUGUUCUGCACCUCUAAAUUCUUGCCACACCUCAUACUAAAUACGAGAAUAUAUUUUCUUUUAGUACAAAAAAAUUAACCUUUAAAACUCCACGCACCUUUUUCACUUCUUUUUAUCUCACCCUGACAAUCCUGGUGACCUACAUUAUAUCUUGCAUUGGUUUGCCAAUGUUUUGAUUGUCCUUUAUUUUUUUUUUAAUUUUACAAAUAUUUUGAAUUAAUUCAAAAAAUAUUUUUAGAUUUGAAAGUGUUUUUCGAAUUUAUAAAAUCUAUAAAAAUUUUAAAAUAAAUAAAUAUUAUAAAUUACAUAAUUCAAAAGUUAAUUUCAAAUUUAAAAAUAAUUUCUAAAUUAUGUAAUAAAAAAUAUAUUUUAAAAAAAAUAUUCAGAUUACAUAAUCCAAAAUUCAGAAAUUUUUUUAGAUUUAAGAUUAGUUUAUGGAUAUGUAAUCUAAACAUAUUUUGGAUUACAUAAUCUAAAAAUUAAUUUAUACUAAAAAAACUUCUGAAUUAAUUCAGAAGCUAAUCUACAAUCUAAAAGAAAAUUCAAAUUAUAUAAUUCAAAAAUUAAUUAUAAUUUAAAAAAAAUUUAAAUUAUAUAAUUCAAAAUAUAAACUACACCACAUCGUAAAUUUCAUAUAUUUUAACUUUACCAUAAAAAAAAGACGUUUUUAAAAUAUACAAACCAAUGGAGGUGCCAAGCAAAACUGCAAAAAUCACAUUGAAUAUAGCCUUGUUAAAAUACUUGAAUUUUUUUUAUAGCCUAUAUUAAAUAUACAAAGAAUCGUUAAACAGCUUUUUACAUUCUUGACUUAUAUUAUUAUCACGUGAAUACGUUUAUCUAUGAUAUACGAUAUACGAUAAUAUACAAAAAUAAAAAAUCUAUAUUUAACAUGUUAUAUUGUACAUAUCAUAACUUUUUAUCAUAUAAAAUAAAUAAAUAAAUAUAUUUUUAGUUUCUAUUGUAACACCCCAUAAUUUACAUAUAAUUAUUACAAUAAAAGUUCUACCAGUUUCUAUACAAACUUGAAGUUUUUCAAAACAUUCCUAAUACAUUAUUAGGAUUUAUAGAAAUACAAAUAUUUACAUAUCCACAAUUCAAAACAAAACUCUGAAACUUCUAAGGCUCUUAUGCACCUGUAUGGUCAUCUGCUCGUGUCCAUAGUACAGUCAUCGUAGUUCAAACACAACAAAAAAAAGCAAGGGUAAGCUACUGAAAAUAGAAUUUUAUAAUAUACACACUUGAAUCCAAAGAGAAAACCAAAUUACAUUAUCAAUUUAUCAAAUUAUUCAAUUUUCUUCAAAUCUCAACAAUAAAACAAUCACAUAGAUCUCACAUGGAUCUACACAUCCAGAAUAUUCAAUAAACAACGUCUUCCGGAAUACCCAUAUUAAGUAAGUCCUACCAGAGACUAACACCUGAUCCAAAGAUUACCAGCGAAUCCAACAGAAAGGAUCAGGGUAAGUUCAAUACAACCCAAGUCGUGCAUCUCAUAUGUCACGGUGUGCAUGAACUCCCCCAUCAGCUUCUCACCACCUGAUAUCUUAGUCUAUGUGACUUAGAUCAUCAGUGAAGCUCGGAGAUCUCUGUUACCACAUAAUCUUCUAUCCUAGGGUGCUACUAAAAAUUAAAUUUAGUUUCUCUUACCUUAAUUGUUUGCUUUCCAAACAACUUCUAGAAUUUUAUUUCCCACCGUCUGGAUAAGCUUCAAGAUUUACGGGCCUAAUGCAAGUUAUCCAAACAGAACAAAAAUUCAGUAUAUAAUAGAAUAAGUUGAGAUGAUUAAACUUCUCAACUUAUCCUACAAAAAUUGAUGACUAAAUCCUAAGGAAAACAGAGAACAAAGGAUAUUUAGAGUAAAAAUGAACUUACUCUGUUUGAAAAUCUGAUCGAGUAGAAAUGUUCCUUAACUCCUCUGGUACAGCGUGGUAUGAUCAGAUUCUAAAAUAGAUAAGGUAUGGAGUGAGAAAUUAAGAGAGAAAGUAGAAGGGAGAGAUGGAGGGAGAAAAAAGAAAGAAGAAGAAUGGUGCGUGCAGCAGGGUGGGUUUCUGUUUCUAAAAAAAAGCAUUGUUACACCUAUUAAUUUUAGUUUUGAUAGACAGGUUAUUAUCUAGUUUUGUUGAUUUUUCUUGAGACAUGUUAGGGGUGAAAGUAUAUGAUUUAGAACUAACAUGAACCAAACUUGGAUUUGGAGUUUGGCAACUAUGGUAGAGAAUUCAGGAGUUGGGGUUGGAACAUGUUCCACAUUAAUUAGUGCCCACUUUGCUUUUUUGGAUUCAAAAAUGGGAGAUGGUGAAGUUUCUACGUCAAAAUUUAUAAAAUCCAAAUAUUAACAUUAAUUAUUCAUAUAUUGCAUAACUAUUAAAGAAUAUUAUUAUAAUAAUCAGAGGAAAUUAUAUUAUACUCGUAUCGUCUAUUUUUUUUUUAUCUAUAUCUAAAAGUCUCAUUCCUUUAUUUUGUUAGGGAACUUUCGAAAAAAGAGUAAAGUUGUCACAUGAGGUGGAUAUGCAUUUUUCAUACAUAAAAUGAAUGCUUAAUAUAUACAUUUGUAUACAAAUAGUUAUCUAUAGACAACUCAUUCAGAUUAUGAUAAAGAUGCGUUUGUUCAGUGCAAACAGAUAAACAUGUUAUUGUAUUUUAAUCUAAUUAUAAGAAUGAAAAGGAUAUUAACACAUGCAUGCCAACUUCACAUGAUAAAUAAGAAAAUUAAAUUAUAUUUAAAACUACAUAUAUUUAUUAAAAAUUCAUUUUAUACUAUUAAUAAAUGUAAUCACAUAGCAAAAUAAAAUAAUGCUAGUUAUAAUAAUAUUCUUUUCCACUAUAAAUUUAUAUUACAUAUAAAAUAAAGAUGAUUCCUCUUUUCUCAUUUUAUUAUUUUAUUUUAUAAAUUUCAAAAUCACAAAAAAAAAUAUUUCAUCAUUCUAUAUAAAUUAUUAAAAAUAAAAUAAUUUUUUAUUUUUUCAAUUAAUAUUACUAAGCAAUUUUUAUAUGCAAACGGUCAACAUUCAUUCUUUCCUUAAUCUACCAGUCUAUCUUUAAUUUCUUAUUUUAUGGAAGAUGUUUGUUUAAAAAAAAAACAGAAAGAAAGAGAACACACCCUCAUCCUUAUUUCUAUCUCUUUUGCUAUGCUUUUUUUUUAAUUUCAGUUAGAUACUAGUGAUAAUAAAUAUUAUUAUUAAAAGAAUUGAUUAUUUUCAACAAAUAAGUGUGUUUAAUGUUAAUAAAUAGGAUUAUUAAAAGAAUUAGUUAUUUUCAUGUAUUUAAAAAUAAAAACAAAAUUAUUAUAAUUAUAAAAUUAACUAAAUCAAAAAGAACAACUUACGCAAAUAUUAAACUAAUAGAAGUGUAUUUUUGAUAGUAAAGCUUUAUCUCCAUUAGUAAAAUUGUGGUGGAUUCAUAAGGAAAAGAAGCUCAAAAAAUGACAUACGUAAGCACUGCUCAAUUGGUGGUACUUUGAAUGGCCACGUUACAUCACAGGAACGAUUUUCGUCAUUAUCCUCCGAAUGUCAUAUUAGAAUUUUUAAAAAGAAUUUAAGAAAUAAAUUUGCCAUAUAAUUUUCUGUAAAUUUUAUAAAAUUCCCUAAAAUAUUUACAGAAAAAAUGUCAUUAAUCAUAAAAAAAAUUCUAAAAUAAAAACAGGAUCUCCAACAUACCCCGAGACUACCAACUCUUGCGUGGGACUAUAUAUUAUGGGUGGUCCAUAGCGGCCCGAUAGUUGGUGGCCUGAUAAGCCCAACAAAUACUCGCUAGGAUAGGCUCAAAAUAGCUCUGGUACCAUAUUACGAAGUGAAUUUUAAGUCUAACUCAACCCUAUAAAACUGGCUCAUAAGGUUGAGGUUUGCACCCACUUAUAUACAAUGAAAGACUCUAAUCUCUAAUCGAUGUGGGAUCUCCAACAGUUUCAUCACUGUAAAAGGAAGAAGAAAAAUAUUCAUGUUGGGUGUUCAUUUCAUCACCUAAAUCAUGAAUAUCCAGGAAAAAACUCAUUGCCUGAACAGUCAUAAGAAUAAGUAAAAUAAUAAUAAAUAACUAAAAAUAAUUAAACAAUAUUUUCAGAUGUGUAAUUUUAUUGCGAAUAAAUUAUGUUAACAUUAUUCUGUUUUAGUAUAUUUAAAAUUAUAAUCAAAUUUUAAUUAAGAUUCUAUAAAAACUUAUUUAUUUUAUUAAUGUUUAAAAUUAUUAUUUAUUUUAAUAAUAAAAAGAUAAAAUUAUAUCAAAUUAGUAAAAAUCUGAGUCAUAAUUUGACAGUGUCAAAACAUGUUUUUAUUUGCGAUGACAAAGCGGGGCGGACCGUGCGGGUUGGUCCGCGGCCCGCUGGUAAAAAACGCGGGGCGGGCUGAACUUUUCAACCCGCAUUAGCCCGUCCCGCAUUAGUCCGCGGCCUGCGCGGGCCAGCAGCGGGGCGGGGCGGGCUGGCCCGCUAACCCGCAAGAAAAAAAAUGGAUGAAAGUUUUCUAAGGUGACAUCCAAUGUUAUUAAAAUGGAAGAAAGUCAAUAAUGUUUAUGUUUAAUGUUUUUGAAUUAAUGUUUAUGUUUAUGUUUAAUGUUUUGAAAUUAGGCAUUUUUAAUGUUUUGGAAGUGGAAGAAUAGUGAUAUUUGAUAUUUAUCUUAAUAUUUAAUGUUUUGAUGUUUGACUAUGUUUGAAAAGGAAGAAAAAUUAAUUUAAGUUUGAUACUAACAAAUAUAUAAGUUUAAUUUGACAAUAUUUUAAAAACAAAAUGUAAAAAUAAAAUUAAAAAUUAAAAAAAAGAACGCGAGUUAACCCUCAAAUCUGCGAACCAGCUCUUAUGCGGGGCGGGUCGAGAAUUCUAACCCAUAAUAAAUUUAUGGAGCGGACCAACCCAACCCACAUUUUUGCGGGCUAAGCACGGACGGACCAAUGGCCCGCUUUGCCACCCGUAGUAUGGUGUUUCUAAUCUUCUAAAAGCAAAUGAUGUUGUUCUAUUAUAAAUUUAUACUAUCUUUUCUAAGGUUCCUUUCUAAAUUUUUGUAGUUCAAACAAAAAAAUAUUUUAAAUUAUAAAUUGAUGAAUGAAUAAAAUUUAAAUUUAUGAAAGUAAAUAUAAAUUUAAUUUAAUUAAUACUUAUUAUAUCAACUUAUUUAAAUAAAAUAACUUGGUACAAUAAAAAACCAAUACAACUUUUAAAAAUUAAAUAAAGUACUAAACAUUUAAUAAAAAUGUAAUUACUUUUAAAAAAAUAUAUAAAAUAUAAUUACAUAAUAAUACAUUUUUAUAAAAAAAUAUAAAUUUUAUUUAUAUUAUAAUACUUUUAUAGUUAUAUUCUUUUGUAUCCUUUUAUAUUCAUCAAUUAGUUUAUCAAAUAUUUAUAAUUCAAUAAAGUAGUUUAUUAUUAGCUAUUAAUUAAUUUCUCUUGUAAAUGGUUUAAUGAAUUUAGUGAAAUCUUAAAUAGAUUGACCACAGAUGGAAAGUAAAUCAUGGUUGUGAAUAAAUUAACAUAAAAUUGGCUAUUUUUUUUCAAUUAUACCAAUUUUUUACAUUUUUUUUAGCAAAGUAUCACAAAGCAUAAUACGUUCAUAAUGUGUUGAUUUGAUGGUGAUUUUGAUGAUGUUUGAAUUUCUUGUUAAUGAUUCCAUUACUCAUUAUCUUAACAUGAUUAAAAAUAUAAAACAUGAAUUAAUAUCUAAGAUAAUAUUAAACACAAUUGCAUUUAGAAACUUGUAUUAUACUUUUUCUUAACAUAAUAAUUGAUUAUGUUAGGAAAUAAUCAAUUGUGUAAUUGUUCAUUUUAGGAAAUAAUCAAUUACGUGAUUGACCAUGUUAAGAAAUAAUUAAUUAUGUAAUUGAUUAUGUUAGGGAUGAAUUAAUUAUCUAAUUGAUUAUGUGUGAGAUUAAUCAAUUAUGUAUUGAUUAUGCUAGGAAAUACUCAAAUAAUUAUAUAAUUGAGUAUGUUUAGAAAUAAUUAAAAGAUAAUUUAUUACACUAUAAUAAAAUCAUUAAAUAGAAACCAAUUUUAAAGACAUAAAAUAAUUAGUUGUUAUAUUAACAAAAUUAGAUAUUAUUGUAGAGACUAAACAAAUUAUUAGUAUCUAAAUUAGUUUAUAUUAUUAAUAAAUAGUUUCUAAAUUGAUAUCUAAUUAGUUACAUAGGUUUUAACUACUAAUUAUUUAGGUUUUAAAGUUGGUAUCUAAAACUUUGGUAUCUAAUUAGAUACCAAUUUAUAAAUUAUUUAUCAAUCAUAAAAACUAAUUUAGAUCCCAAUAAUUAUUUUAGUCUCUAUAAUAGUAUUUAAUUCUGUCAAUAUAACAACUAAUUAUUUUUUGUCUAUAAAAUUAUUUUUUAUUUAAUGAUUUUCUUGUAGUGUUAUAUUGGUCAAAAUGGUUUUACAUUUUUCGCAAAUAACCUAUUAUUACACGAAAUAAUCAAAUUAUCUUAGCCAAUAUAAAAAAAACUCAACCUUCACAAAUAAUCAAUUAGGUUUCAAUAAUAAUUGAUUUAACUGUUACUAAAAGUGUUUUAUGAAUUGAUGAACGCACUUAAUAUCCGAUUAUCCUUAAUAAUAUUUUGAUAAGUUAUUUCAAAUAUUUUUAAAACUAAAUUCUCUCUCUCAUUCAAACCACAAUUUUUUUUAUAUUAUUUAAAUAGAGAACUCUCGUAUGAUUUAGACAUUUUUCAGAAGAAUACUUUUAUAUAAUACAAUUGUAUUAAUUGUUUUGAAGAAAUAUUGCUCCUGGUCCAUCAGGUCGAUCAUACUAUAGAUUGUUCUAUUGUAAUAGUGUUUCUUGUUCUAAUUACAUAUAUGCUAUUGUAAUCGGAUAAAUCAAGCUUUUAGUGAAAAGUGAAGCUCGAGUUGUUUAGAUCAACUGGAUUUAGAUUUAGGAAGAAUCAAAGCAGUAUACCAAUUUUGUGUGUCUAUGUCUCAUAUUUCUUUCAUUAUCUUAAAUCCUUUGUUAUUAUUAAGUUAUUGUUCAAGCAAAAUAGGUGAAUUUUGGAAUGUUUCUAGAUUAUUUUUGCUCAAACGAGAGGAUUUUUAUUCAAGUGAUGAGGUCUAUUUUCGCUCAAGUUAAAAAAAACUUGAAUCUCUAUUUUUCCUUAUCAAAGUCUGGUUUAUUAUUGUUUAUUGUUUUUAAGUAAAAAAAUCAAUUUUAUUUAAAUAUGUGGGUGUUUAUGUGAAUUUUGUGUUAUUUGUGGAUUAUUUUAAAAUUUUAAAUUUUUGGUGUGAUUGAAUGAUGUAUUAAUGUAUGAUAUGCAGUAUGAAAUUAUGUGAGAGCAUAAUCAAAACAUAGUAUUUUUAGGAAAGAAAAUACCGUGUCGAGAUUGUUAGGAGGAUGUAUUGGUUUGUGAGUACUAUGUGAAAGGCAUGAUCUCGAAACUACCGAUAUAUUGUAAUCAUAUAGAUGAAGAGUAUCAGGUGGUGAAAGUCAAAGAAAGUUCAUUUGGCUGAGUUUGAAGUUUGAAAUAACUUAUCAGAGCAUAUUAUAUGGAUUUACCUGUGUCAUAUGAGGAUGAAUGUCUUGAAGGGGAGACUAUAUUGUGAUAAGAACAUGGUAAAUGACAUGUGUAGGUCACUGAGUGUUAAUUUCAAUACACAAAUCUUCCGGAAGUAGAAUCAAGUGUAUGUAUUGAUCUAAGUGGAUUUCUAGCAUGAAUGAUGUAAAAUAUGAGAUAAAAUUGUAAACACUUGAUUUUUUUGAAUGAUGAUUGUAGAUAAUGGAGGAUGUAUGAUGAUUAAUAUGUUUGUGAUGAAAUUUGUUUUAUUUAAAGCUUUAUUGAAAGUUUUAAAAUUACUAGCUUACCCUACUAUUUAUUGUGUGUUUGUUUUAAAAUAUGUGAUGAUAGUGUAUUAAAUUAUGUUUAAGGUGACACAACUCUAUUCUUAUCCGGUAUUUUCUUUUGAGUUUUAGUUUUAUUGUAUACAUAUCUUUUAAACUUUAUAUAUGAAAAAUAUUUGAAAUAUUGUAUAACUGAUAAGUAUAUAUGUAAAUAUUUAAAUAGAUAAUUAUAAUAAAUAAAUAAGGAUAUUAAAAUUGAGUGUUAAAGUUAAUUUCUUUUAUCAUCGAAUAAUUAUAGAAAAUAUUUCCUUAAAUUUUUUAAAAUCCAAUUUGACCUCUUUUUUAUUGUGUUUUCUUUUUUUACAAUUUUUUUUUCUUCCAUAAAUGAACCAUUUAUAGUGUUGUAUUGUAAAUCUAAGAAAAAAAUUGAACCAUUAUGUCCGGAGAAAAACAAGUUAUCUUCUAAAACCUAACUUUUGAACCUAUCGUUACUCCUCUUCCUUUCAUUCUUCAUUUUCCUUUCAGUUUCGGCUUUUCACUCUUUAGAAUCCAAAGAAUCUUUACCCUUAACACCACAACAUAUUGCUAUGCCAAGCAAGGAGGAUUCACCAUUAGAAGAAGCAAAUCUUCCACUGCUGGAAGAUGAAAGAGAUGAUGAACAAGACCAAAAACUGGCACCAAGGUUUUGGAUGGAGUCAAAGAAGCUUUGGCACAUAGUAGGCCCUUCAAUUUUGAGCCGCGUUUUAUCCUAUUCCAUGUUAGUCAUCACCCAAGCCUUCGCUGGCCGUCUCGGUGACCUCGAACUCGCCGCCAUCUCCAUUGCCAAUAAUGUCGUCGUUGGCUUCGACUUUGGCCUCUUGGUAUGUUUCACUAUAAAGUUUCAACUCCUUCAAUUUUCAUCAAAGCCUCACACUAAAUAUUAAUUUAAACAACUGAAUUAAAAUUACAAUUCUGAUUACAAAGCAGUUUCGUAAAUUGAUUAAACCAAAUUAUUAAUAUCAAUGUUUUGUAAUUGGAGUAGUUGGGUAUGGCAAGUGCCUUAGAAACGCUGUGUGGGCAAGCCUUUGGAGCGAAAAAGUACUACAUGUUAGGCAUUUACAUGCAGCGUUCGUGGAUCGUUCUUUUCAUUUGCUGUAUCUUGCUUUUGCCUCUGUACUUGUUUGCCUCGCCGGUGUUGAAGCUGUUGGGGCAGCCCGAUGAGCUGGCGGAGUUAUCCGGUACGGUGUCGAUAUGGAUGCUACCGGUGCACUUCGCGUUUGCGUUUCAGUUCCCUCUGCAGAGGUUCUUGCAGUGCCAGCUGAAGACUGCGCCUAUUGCGUGGGUGUCUCUGGUGGCGCUCUUGGUGCAUGUGUUCGUGAGCUGGUUGUUCGUGUUCAAGCUCGAGUUCGGAGUUAUUGGCGCUGCUGCAACCAUUAACUUCUCGUGGUGGGUCCUCACCUUGGGGCUUUUUGGCUACAGCGUUUGGGGUGGGUGCCCUCUCACUUGGACUGGUUUUUCAGUUGAAGCUUUCUCUGGCCUUUGGGACUUUCUCAAACUCUCUGCUGCUGCUGGAGUCAUGCUCUGGUACUCUCUCUCUCUCUCUCCCUUUCAACUUUUUGUUCUUGUGUUUCUCAGCUUGUGUUUUGCAGCUUGGAGAAUUGGUAUUACAAAAUUCUGAUAGUGAUGACGGGGAACCUUGAGAAUGCAGAGAUUGCUGUGGAUGCUUUAUCCAUAUGGUAUUUUUACUACUUUUGCCAUCCUUCUACUCUUGUACGACUUGUUAUGCCUUUUCUUUUAGUUCUUGAUUCUAUAAACUUUUAAAUCUUCUGUAAAAGGCUGAUAUGUAAAGUCAUCUAGUGUUUGCUAAUGUAAAGAUUUUAAAUAAGAGUUAGUCUAUGUUUACUUACAACAAUAAACAUCACCUUGGUUAAAAGUAUAAUUAAUUUUGUGAAAAGCUAUUUAAAAUAGUUUAUGAUACACGCGUUUAAUUACCAAAAAAAAAUGACUGACUGCACUUUUUAGUUACUUUUUUCUGAUAAUAUCUUUUUGCCAAUGAUGUGCUCUGUUCGGCAGUAUGACCGUCAAUAGCUUGGAGUUGAUGAUUCCUCUGGCAUUCUUUGCUGCAACAGGGUAAUAUAUAAAAUUUUUCUCUUUUUGUUUUUAUUUAUUCUAGUUUUUAGUUGUGCACAAGUAAAAUAUGGUGGGCGCAGAAGAAACUCUAGAUAUAAUUGAUAAAAAUAUAGACUGCGAGGAGAAUGCGGUUAGGUUGAGGAACCAUAGAGAAGCAGCAACAAUGACCCUAGAAAAUUGCGUGGUGAUUGAGGUUGUUAUCGUGAAGUGGUGCAAGUAAAGAUGAACCUUUUCUCCUCAAUCACCAUUCACCACAAAUUAGUAAUGUCAAUGAAAGAGAAGUCAUAGAAAAAGUUGGUACAAUACAAGAAGUGAAGCCAAACUUGUGCAUUAUUAACAGGUGAUCUUUCUUUUUGUCGGGGAGUAUAGGAUUAGUCUUGCCCUCAUGACACCUAUUUCAACAUAGGUUCCUUUCGAGUACAUUCCUCCUUUUUUAAAACUAUUUUCACCCUUUUCUUUCUCACUAUCUGACAUUUUUUAAUAUUAAAUAUUUGUCAUGGUCCCAAUAGCUCAUAACAAUGACAUCCUCUGCUUUUGUGUUCUGACUGCUCCAUAUGGAGGCAGUGACCAUACAGUAUUAUCAUAUAGCAAGAAUUGAAGGAUACAAAAUACUAAGUAAAUUGUUUUAUUUUCAUUUUUAACAACUAUGUUUAUAUGUUUGCUACAUAAUUAAUUAUAUCGUUAUUUUAAAAAAUUAAAAAUCAUAAAAAUAAUGAAUUAUAUUUUUUCUGUAUUUAAUUCUCGUAGUUUACCGUUGUAUCAGAAACAAACAAGCUUUGUCUGCAUAAAUAGACCAUCUUCCAUAGGCUUGAAGAGAGGAUGAAAAAAAACAAGCAGAGGCUAAGAACAAUUGUUUGGCUAAGAAAGUGUCCUGCAAUUUCUAGCCACAUGUACACCAUCUUACCUUUUACAAAGGUCAUCUAAUUUUUUGGGAAUAAUGAAAAAAGAAAAAUUAUUUUAUAUUUAACAAGAUAAUUGCUUAAUAAUUAAAAUUUAUUUUAAUAAUUUACUCUAUUAAUGUUUUAAAAUAUACCUAGAUAGAAUUUAUAAUCUACCAUCUCACCUCUUAAAAUAAUAAUAAAGAAUGCUAAUUUCUAAUCCUUUUUGGAUUUUUAUUUUAUUGUUAUUAGACCUUUUUGAAUUAUUGAUUUAGUGUUACAGUUGUUAAUAAUUCAUUUAGUUAUUUAAUUAUUUUUUAGUAAAGUAUUUAUUUUAUUAAGAAUAUAGUAACUACUUAAAUAAUAAUAAUAAUAAAUAUUUGAUUAUGGAAAAGUUAAAAUAAAUUAAAAUAUGUAAAUAUAUAAUUAUUAAUGAUAUUUAAUUACCUAAUAUUAAUAUUUGAUUCAAUAACUAAUCAAAACCUUACUUUUUUAUUUUAUAAUUUUUUACUAAUUUAUCACUCAGUUUUAUUAAAUCUUUAAUCUAAUCUCUCUAUUUUGUACUAGUUUCCAACCUUUAACUAACUUUUUUAAUUCUUAGUUAAUCUUUCAACUUUCAGCUAAUUUUAAAACAUAUAACCAUAGUACUACCAGAGACCAUUCAGCAAUACCACCCAAGGUAUAAUGAGCUAUUUUGAAUUCAGGAUUAUAAACCAAUUCAAGGGAUGACCCUUUUGGCAUAAUGCAAAGAAAACAUUAAAACUUACAAGGAAGAGGAAGAUAGGGAAAAAAGUGAGACAUGAUGAAUACUGAUAAUAUUAGUAAAAGAAAAGCCCAAGCUAAAAAUAAUUUUUUAAUUUAUAUAGUUAGAAGGAUCUAAAUAUGUAGAAAUGCAAAUAGUAAUGUUGUUAGUUAAUAUGCAAUGUGCAGAGUGAGAGUUGCAAACGAGCUUGGAGCUGGGAAUGGAAAAGGAGCCAAGUUUGCUACUACAGUAUCUGUGGUAACAUCGGUUAUUAUAGGACUCUUCUUCUGGAUGUUGAUUUUGAUAUUGCAUGAUAAAUUCGGCUACAUAUUCUCCAAUAGCAAACCUGUCCUUGACCAAGUCAACGACCUUUCUCUUCUAUUAGCCUUCACAAUUCUGCUCAACAGUGUUCAACCAGUUCUCUCAGGUAUCUAUUGGUAGUUAAACUUUGAUUAGAAAUUGCAAAAUCAUGAAUGAAUGUUAUUCCCUUUUUGGAUGAUUUCAACAGGAGUGGCUGUAGGAUCAGGUUGGCAAUCAUAUGUGGCAUACAUAAACUUGGGUUGCUACUAUAUUAUUGGGGUGCCUCUUGGAUUUUUGAUGGGCUGGGUUUUCAAACUAGGAGUUAUGGUAUGUUUGUUGCCAUCUUUUUGUCUACUACUUUCUACACAUUUAUGCAGUUUAUUUACCCAGAAUAUGUGAAUUUCACAUGCAUUAACAUAUGAUUCUUACACAAUUUGGUAAUGAAAAUGAACAAAGGGAAUCUGGGCGGGGAUGAUUUUUGGUGGCACGGCUACUCAGACAUUAGUAUUGAGCAUCAUUACCAUUCAGUGCGACUGGGAAAAAGAGGUAAUUUGCUUAGUUUUUUUAUUCUUUUCAGUGGUGUUAAUGCUCCUCACUUUCAUUUAUCUAAUCUUAAUUCAGGCUGAGAUCGCAAAAAUGCGUUUAACCAAGUGGGCAGAUCCAAAACAGGAACUCAACUAACGUAUCUGCAUAUUUAUUUCAUCUGUAAUACUAAAACAACCAAUAUAGUCCACAUGUUGUCAGAAUAUAAAUCAAUUUAGUCAAAACAUUACACUGAUUAACUCAUUAUGGAUCGCAGACUAAAAUCAAACAAAGAACAAAAUGUCAAUUUUUAUGAUGUUUGGGAUUGUGUGUGACAUUUGUAUUUAUCAAUCAAGAUCCAGCAGCAUGAGUUGCUACUAAGAAUAUAAGCUUGGAAACUAACCAAUUUGAAAAGUAUAUAUAAUUCAAUUUAUACACCAAUGGAUCUUACCACCUAGUUUUACACGGUGCACAAUUACACUGAAUCGUUGUAAAAUAAGGAAAAAUGCUUGUAUGAAGAUGAGACGAGGUUAAUAACAACAAUUUUUUCAAAAAUAUUCUCUAUAGUAAGAGGAAAUAUUAAUAACAGAAGAAUAUAUUUUAAGUUUUUUAAAUAGUUUAUAAUUUUUUCUUGUUGCAUCUCUUUUUUAAAUAUGUAUGGAGAAAAAUUAUUGAAGAAUUCAAAAUUUGUAUAUAUAUAUUUUUUUUUAAUUUUACGUCAAUUAAAUCUUGAAUUAAUUAGUAGGAAAAUACUAGUUAUCGAAUAAAUAAUGUCCAUCUUAAUCAAGAGGCACUGAACAUAUUUUUCUUAUAAUAUAAUAAAAUGUGAAGAAACGAUAACUUAUUAUUCAUCUUUUUUUUAAGAGAAUUUUAUUAUUUACGAGAAAUUAGAAUAAAUAAUUCGUAUAAAGAAACAGUUUAGGAAUAAAAAACCUAUUAUAUUCUAAUUUCCCUAAAAUAAAUUAUUAAUAUAAUAUAAUUUUUAGUAUUGAAUGCUUAAACAAUCACUACAAGCAAAUCAUUAAAUAAAAAACUAAAUUUAAAGAUAAACAAAUAAUUAGUUGCUAUAAUGACUAAAUUAGAGACAAAAAUAAUUUUUUAUUUUUAAAUUAGUUUCUAUCAAAUAGUUUCUAUUUAACAAUAAUAGAAACUAAUUUAAAAACUAUUUAACAAUAAUAAAAACUAAUUUAAAAAUUACAAAUUUUUUUAAUCUCUAAAAUGAUCUCUAAUUUAGUAAAUAUAGUAACUAAUUAUUUUUUGUCUCUAAAAUUAAUUUUUAUUUAAUGGUUUUCUUGUAUUAAACAAACAUCAUUUAUUAAAAUUAUUAAUCACUUUUUUCUAAACUUUAAUAAGAAAAACUAUCAAUCACUUAUUUUAAAGUAGAAAAAUAGGCGUAUAACAUUAAGACAAACUUUUAUAACGAGAAUUGAUGUGAUCAAUUAUUUUUUUUUAUAAAUUUUUCAUAAUAGUCUUAUCUAAUUUCACACGAAUUAAAAUAUUUAUUAAAUUUAUUAAAAUUUUCUUUCGAUAAAAUAAAAGUACAUUUUCUUAAAUUUUUUAAUUAUAUUUAUUUAAAAUUUUAUACUUAUUUAAAUAUGAGAGUAUUUUUUAAAAAUAAUUUCAUUAAAAAACAAUGAAGUUCAAAUUUUGUUUAUAUUUAAAUCCCAUACAUAUGACUACUUUUUCUUGUUUACAUUUAAGUUUAGAGAGAGCACUCAAAUAAAAAUAUUUCAUUUAACACUGGUUAAUAAUGUUAAUUAAUUUCAUUUAAUGUUUAAAAAAAUAAAUUUCUUGAACUAUUUAAUCAUAUUUAUUUCACACGAAUUGCAUAUUAAAUUAACUUUAAAACGUUUUAAAAUAACAAUAUUAAACAAUGUCAAACUAAUUAAAUUUUGUUUAUAUUUAAAUUAUAACUUGUUUGUUAUAUUUUCUUUAAAAUAAUUACUUGUAUAUAAGUUUAGAAAAUAUAUAUGAUCUUAAAUCGUAUUAAAUUCAUAAAAAUACUAAUUAUCAUUAAUUAUUUAUGUUAAGAAACAACGACCAAGAAAUCUGGGCUAGGUUAAUUUUUUGUGGACCAUUAAUUGAGAUUGGGCCAUUGAGGUAUAUUACACACAAAAUAUAAACUUUCACAUUCUUUCAAAGAAAAAAAAAGUCAUUUUAUAAUUUAUUUUAAUAAUAUAAUGAUAUACAUUAAUAUUUUAAAUAAAAAAAUAAAAAAAAUAACUAAUAUAGUAGUAUGUUAGUUGUUAAGCUGCUUUUUUUUUAUAUCAGUGGGUCCUAAAAUAUCAUUUCUAAUGUUGCAUUUCAUUAAAUGGACCUAUACCUAUAACUCAUGAAGUACUUAUUGUUUUUUUUACUUUCAUAAAUUUUCGUAUUUUCAAAAAUAUUUUUCUAUAAUAUUUUGAAUUACAUAAUCUAAAAGUCUUUUUACAAAUUUAGCUAUCGAAUUAUAUAAUUUAAAAAAAAUUUAGAUGAAUGAUUAGUUUUUGAAUUACAUGAAAGAUUUUUUUUAGCUUCCGGAUUAUGUAAUUCAGAAUUUUUUUUUAAAUGCCUGUUAGAUUACAUAAACUGAAAACUACUCUAUGAAAUGACACAAGAAGAAUAAAAAGAUAUUAAAAAGAUAUAUGAGGUGUCAGAAGAAUAUAUGGAGAGGAAGAAAUAGUUAGUACUUGCUUUCCUUUUCAAAUGCACAUGCCCAGCAAAAGAAGAAUGAAUGGGCUUCUUGGUAGAGUUAGCUUAUCAUCAUGGAAAUUGCCUCAGCACCCAAUCAAUUUUUUUUUUUUUUAAUUUUCAAAAUUGUCAUUCAUUUCAGAAUUGAAAAUCCAGAAUUAAGAAAUAUAUUAUGAGAAAAAAAAAUCUAAAUAGUUUUUUAUAGUUCAGAAAUAAAAUUUUGAAAUAAAGUUGGAAAAUCAAAAUUCCAUUAAAAAAAUUCCAGAAUAAAAAAAAAUAUUUUAAAAAUAAAAUACGCUAAAAAAUGGAUUUCUGAAAUGUAUUUCAGAAAAAAAAUCUAAACAUAUUUUAGAAAAGGAAUUCUGAAAUCUAAAUAUAUUUCAAAAAUCCAAAUUAAAAAAUGUAUUUCGAAAUACUAAAUCCAGAAUCUCACCUAUCUCCUUUUAUUUAAAAACUAAAAAGGAAAUUUUAUCAUUUUACAUUGAAAACAUUGGAUGCAGGAAAUAAUUGCCAAUCGUCAUUCUCUAAUCACCUUCUUUAUUAGUAAACACCAAAUUAUUAGUUAAUAUUAUAAUUUUAAAUGAAAAUACAUAAAGUUGUAUUAAUAGUGGGCUUUGAACUUUGGAGCCCAAAUGUUCUUUUGAUUAACACUGCCCCUCUAUUGGGCUCGUAUGGGUGCAGACUGAUGGGCUCUCUUAUAGCUACUUAUAACUCCUUGUGGAUACAUACACACCAUAAGAUUACAAUCCUUGAGGAAUUUUGACUCGAUUGAGUGAGGAGUUAAUAUGACUAUAGGUUAAAUAAAUCUAAUCUACACUCUGAACUAAUAGAAAAUAUUUUUUAAUGACUCUUCAGUUAUUUAUAACUACAAAAAUUAAUAAAAACUACUAUUUGAAAAAGAAUAUUUGGCUAGAAUUUCUAAUUGCUUAAUUUUUGUAUCAAUGAAGAAAAUAACCUCCAAUUCUGAAACCAACACAAAUCGUGGUCCAAAUACUUUCAUAUCGAAAGAGUAUGGCAUUGGAAAUGCACGGCCCCGUUUGGAGAAAUCCUUAGAAGAAUGUGUUGUUUUGUAAAAUAUGGGAGAAAACGGUGAAAAGAAAAAGCAAGGUAGGUUAAAAAUGUGUAAGAUUUGAAGGUAUAGCAUAUGCAUGUGAGUUGUUAUCCAUAAAGAUGGAGGCAGAAAGAAAAAUCCUUGACAGAGGAAAGUGAUUUGGAAAUUGUAUGAAGAUAAUAUUUGGUAUGAUUAUAAAAAGGGAAAGUAGGCAUUGUUUGAGCAUAUUAAUUAAAAAGGAGAAAGAAUGGUUGAAAAUAGUGUGUAUGAGAAGAAUAGGUAAAGUGACAACAGUGGAUGGAGCUGACAGAGGUCACGUGUGCCAUAAAAGUUGAUUGGUAGAGUGUUUUGUCAUUGUUGUGUGAGCAACAGGUCCAUCUAUGUUUGCAUUGUUCACUGAAGGUUGGGGUAAUGCUCACAACACAUGUUGGGGUGUUCUCUAUGUUAGGCUUGUGGGUGCUCAAUCACACACCCACCAAUCACAUUCUCCACUCUUUUUCAACUCUUCUCUACACCUUCACUUUCUUAUUCCCUUACAAAUUCUUACUAUAACAUCAAAUCUAUUCCAAUUUUUUAAAUUCAAAAAUAUUUUUACCAUUUCACAAAAUUUACUUCUUACUUAUUUCAUACCAACAACAAUAUUGAUGGACGGUCAAUAGUUAUCAUCAUGUCCUGUCACAGUUUCUAAUAUCUCUUAGUGUCACGUCGCAAGUUUUAUCAACAUUAUAUAUAUAUUGACACUAAAGAAAAAAUCAACGUUAUUCCAAAAAUUUAAGAAUUAAACCUAAAAUCAGUCACAGUUGACAGUUUUACAAUUUUAAGAUAAUUUAAAAAAUAUCAGGAAACAUGAUUCACAUAUGGAAUAAGCAUGAGAAGGAAUUGGUGAGAUAAAAAGAAAGAGGAAGAAAGUGAUUAUGAAAAGGAAAUAGUUGGUAGAUAAUUAGUAGUUGCAUUAGAAAUUUGUGAAUAUCACAUGAAUGAAUGUGGUCCAAACUCUCAUCACCACAACUCCAUUAUCAAUAAUGAGAUUGGGAUAAGAUAAGUUCCUCAUAACCUCAAAAUGGGGAUAAAGACUUCAACAAACUACUUUGCCCAAAGCCCAAACACUUGCUAUUGCAAUUUUAACCUACUUUUUAUAAAAAUAACAAAUUAGGAUGAUUUAUAAUUAAAUAAUAUUAUAAAAUGUCUUACACGUUCAUCUAUUGAUAUUUAAAAAAAAAAUCAAACUUACCUCCAAAAUAUGGAACUAUUUUUCAUUGAUUAAUUAACCAUCAUCCAAGUGUUUUUUUUUUCUUCCUAUAUAACGUUUUCUGUUUAUAGGAUUUAUUCCAUUGCAAUUUAAGGCAGACACUGAACUAAAUUAAGGAGGGUAUGAGUCCUGUCGUGUUAAAAAUGGUUUACAUUUGAUUGUUAGCAUUAUUAUUAUUUGAAAAGACAAUUUCAUUAUUAUUAUCAUCAAUAUAAUAAUAAUGAGAAAGCUACUAUUCAUUAAGAUAUUUGUGAGAAAUGGUGCAGAACUUGUUUAGGGUGAAAAUCCUCCUCAAACUUGGAUAACUUUUGCUUAGAACAAAAUGAUUAAAGAUUUUGAAAUAAAAGGCAAAGGCAAAGAAGGUGAGAUAGAUUUUUUUGUUUGUUCAGAUUAUACUUAUCUCUUCUUCUUUCCAUUUUAACCUCUCUUUUCCUUUCAAAAGUUGGUGUGAACAAAUAGAUGGCAAUUAAUUAAAUUAAAAGCAAAAGCAAGAUCAUGACAAUUGACAUAUGUCAUAGUAUAACACUAGCUCUCGGUGGUUCAUACUGUCUUUUUUAACUUCAACAAAUUUUGGUCUGCAUUUAAUUUUGAUUUUCAUACAAUUCACUUAAAUAAUUCAAUGUCAUUACAAUAAUUAAUUUUAAACUAGUGUAUGAGAUAUUUAAAUUGUUUACCUUGUCGUUACUUAUUGUCUUAAGAGUCGGCGGAAAAAAACUAAAUAUAUCAUAGAGACUAAAGAAAUGUAGUAUUUUUAUCAAAACAAAAGUUAUAGAGUAAUGUAUCAUAAGAUCACAAGUUAAAAGAAUAGUUAAGGACAAUUAAGUAACCUCGAAAGAUUGAAUAUUACAUACAUUAUUUAUAAACUAAAAGUAUAUGACAUAUGUCAAUUGAUAAAAGAUAAAAUAAAAAAAGUAUAUGACAAAACUAAAAAUAAAACUACAUCAUAAUAUACAAGUUUAAUCAUAUUUUAAUUCUGAAAUUUGAAAUAAAUCCUUUAUAAUUCCUAAACUUAAAAGGGUUUAGUUUAGUUCCUCAAAGUCUAUAAAAUAUUACUUUAAUUUUUAAACAAUAAAUUUAGGGAUUGAAAAUAAUUUUAAAAAAUAUAUAUUUUCAAUAUCUCAAAUUUGGUAUUUUAUAGUUUAAAUUAUAUUUUUUUAAAUUUUGAGGAGAUAGAUGGUUUUUUUCUAAUUUGGAGACCAAAAUUAGAAUUAUAUUGAACUUUAAGAUUAAAACAAAAUUAAAUUUAAAUUAUGUGAAUCAAUAUCUUACUCUCAAAUGUUUUUAUUUAUUUAAUUUGGUUUUAUCAAAUAAAUUUUUAUUUAAAAAUUAUAAGUAAACUUUACUAAAAUAUUUUAAUAAGAGUUUAUAAGAUUUCCAAUAAUUAUUUUCACAAACCUAAAUAAUUUUUCUAAAAUACCUGAUUAAUUUAUAAAUUAUUUAAAAUUCUUUAGGUUACUAUCUAUAAAUGGAAUAAUAACAUGUGUUUCCCUAGUAGAAAAAUGGAGACUCGCCAUCAGAAUUAAAAAGUUGAUUCCUAAGUAUUCCGUCAAUGGCCUCAUUUCUUUAAAUAUAUUUUUUUUAAUAUUAUAUGCAAAAUUAUUUUUUAUUAUAGUCUAAAUUUUAUAUUUCUUGUACUUAAAUAAGUCCUAAUGUAACAAAUGAAUUUUGGUGAAUCAUAAUAUUAAAAUAUUUUAUGUUGAUUUAUUGAUGUAUAUAUUAUAAUAUUAUAAUAAUUUACGUUAGAAUAGUUUGCUAUGUAAAUGAAAACAUUGAUAAAAACUUAUUUUAUUAAUUUUUUUACUAUAAAUAUCUAGAAUAGCUCAAAUUGAACUAGCAGCACUCAAAAGUAUAUGACAAAAAAUAUAUUUAACAACAAAAUAGUGUAGAUUUAUAAAUAAUUACAGAUGUAGAGUUUGGUUUCAAAUUAAUGCAAAAUAAUCACAAAAGUGGUAAUAUUUUUUAUUAUGAUGAGAAGAAAAGACGUUAUAGAUAGAUUCAUUGAUUGAUGAUAUGCAUAUAAAGAAGGUCCUUUCUAGCAUUGAAAUAUAGUAAAUAACGGUUGGGAGAUAAUCUCAUACACUUUAAAUCAUUUCCUUCUUUGCUGCUGAUUGAACUUUCUGGCAAUCGAAUCAGAAAAAGUGUGAAAUUGAAGCGCACCAAAUGGUAGGUUACAUGAAUUUUGAUGUGAAAGAACAGGUUUAUGUAGUUAUUUAAAAAAGGGGAACAUGAUAAUUAACUAAAUUAGUGAACUAAUGAUAAAAUAAAAAGCAUAAAGGAUGGUGAUAUCACCUUUUGUUUAUGUCACUCAAUUAUUAUUAGCUAAAGCUGAGACAUAUUUUGUCGUCUCACAUUCAUGCUGCCUAAUCCAUGCUUCGCACGCCAAAGGUUCGGGAAACCAGUUUACAUAAUACUCAUCAUUUUACCAAUUACAACUAAUUCAUUCAUUGUCAUAUCUUAAGCUUCCUAAUUUUCACUAAUUCUAUAAACCAGCUAUUACUCUCUCAUUAAUUCGUCACCCCACCAAUCAAUUAAAAUUACUGAUCUUUCUCCUCUUUCUUUGCUGAUAAAAAAAAAACUGAUCUUUCUCCUCCCAAAUAUAAGAAUAAUUUCACAUCAUACUAUUA